CAGACAAGAUGAUCAUAAAUGUUCUUCCUUGAGCUGUGUAACCCGCUGCACUCGGUGAUGGACUGGUGAGGUCUCCCCACAAACAAGGGGCUGCUGGAAGAGAGUAGGUGAGUUGUGUUUAGUCUCUUUGCUAAAGAAAUCAGGCAAAGCUAAAAAGAUGUUUGGUGGCUAGUACUAUGGCUGGGACCCUAUAUGUACUGUUGAUGAAGUUAGGUGCCGUUCUGAGCAUUGUUUGUGGCUAUAGAGUGGCGUUUUGGUUGAGGUUUGUUUGUGGCUCCUCAGACCACUGUGUAUUGCUAUCCUGCAGUUGUUACUAAAGUUGGUAUAACUAGAGAAGCAAGCGGUCUGCAACAUUCAUCUCUGAACAGGGUGUCUAACUCGGUGUUACAGUGUUUUUGACCCUAACUUAAUUUUACGCUGGAAUAUCCCUUUAACAGAUAGAUGCAAGGAAACAUGAAGAGGGAGAGAGGGAAAAAGAAAAUGUAAUGAAAAAAAUUAUAUCCUCCUGUAGUGCUUCAUGUAAAUUGACAUCCUAUACUGAUAGCAUCAGCUGACCACCACUGGAACAGCUAUCAGUCAAGCUUGACAGCUGUUUGUAUUAAUAUAGCUGAGUACUGUAAUUGGACUCAGCAACUUUUUCAGUAUACUAUCUGUCUAACAAAGCCAAGCAUACAGACCAAGUGUGCUCACACUUCAUGUCAUGUUCAGAACACUAAUAAAGAUUGUAGCCUAUUUGGACAGUUCAUUCUCUCAUGAAAGCACCACAUUGACAACAAACUGUACAGCUGCUCCACACCCUAAGGUGCAUCACACCCCAUCAUGCACAAGGGUGCAAGAGCCCGCUGCUAGAAGCUUUAAUGGGUGUUGUUAUCUAACGGGUGUUAAUGAGUGUUACCUCCAAGGUGUGCACUCACAUAUUGAGAGACUUCUUUAUUUCUUUUAAUAAGGAGAAGCUCAAACAAUAGUAUCAGAUUUACUCUUCCACAACCCCUCUCUGCAUGUAUGCACCUGUCAUUGUAUUCUUCACAUGUGUAAGGGGAUCUUUGUGAGUGUACUUAUCUUAAGUGUUUUGCAAUUAUGUAUUUAUUUGUUUUUACACAAUGAGUUUCUUUAAGGAUGUUCUGAGCAAUUUAAUGAUAAAAACUAAAGUUAUCUUGAGGAGCAUUCUGGUGAUUAGAUUAAAUUAAAUUACAGCACAAUGCUCAAAUGUUGUUGUUACGGUGAACCUGCCAGUUAAGUCCCAUUGCAAGUAAAGGCAAGGUACUUGGGAGUUCACUGAUAACAAAUAAACUGCAAUUAUUGAGAGUUAAGUCUCGUCUGCACCAUAUUGCUCUCAGAUGCUUUCACAAGAUGAGAAAAGGAAGACGGUUAAAAAAACCCAAAUAAGAUACCAAGAUAUCAGGAUGCAGUAACACACAUUUCCCCUCCUUUCUUUCAUUAUAUGCAAAUAAAUAUAGAUUCACACUGUACUUGCUUCCCAUGCUGUUUUAUUAUUUUUUUUCGUUCCCCUUGUUUUUUUUUAUCUGUCUUUAUUGUUAGUUUUCCUCUCAUUGGAGCCAAUUUCCCUGUAUUGCUUUUCUUUCGCCUCACAGGGGGUUUGAACAAGCUCACUGAGGCAUCACAAUUAUGCAGAAUUUUCCUACGCUGAUGAAUGUCUGUGCUUUUUGCAUCACACCUAAAUUUACUCUCUUCCUUUCGUAAGCUCCCAUGAACGUAUAUUCUUCUGUUUUCAGUUGUGUUUAUUCCCUGUUUAAGUUAUUGAAUGUAUCUCGCAUUGUCCUACCUCUCCUUCUUUAUCUCUCUUGGACUACAUUUAUAUGUUUUAUGUUUAGUCUCUAUCUUAGCACUCACCCAUAGUCAGCUGCUCCCUUGACCAUGCAUUCCAUUACAGCUCAGCCUCCAUUGAUUUGCUCUCUGGCUGAAGUGCUAUUGAUUACAAUACAUGCUUCAUUGCAACCGAGCAAAGGCACUACCACUGUGCAAAAAUCGUAUAUACAAAAGCGUACACACAAGCACACGGCAAUCUCUUACACACAUUGUUAGAUUCUCUUUUUCUUCUGCUUUCUCUCGCCUUCAUUUCAUAUGUACUUCAAAACACUUGGCAAUAUACAAGCUCCUUUUCUUACAUUCUCCUCAUCUCUAUUGUCGGUACAUCUCAGUAUUCAUUGGCAUAUUGAUUACUUCUGCCUGACCAUAAGACAUACAUCCUUAUGUGAAAUUCCACAGCUGAUGUUUUUGGAAACGAUUGUUAGAAAAGACAAGCUGGAAGGACUUUGAAAGAAACAGCAACUUACUGAGUUUUUCCCUGAAAGGAAGGCCUCAGAAGAAACCCUUUCAGGUUUGUGCAAGCAUGUGAGUUUGUGUGCAUGUGUUUGGAAAUGGUGCAAUAUGUUGAGAGGGUCUCAUUUACCAAACCAUGAAUUUAUGUAUUUAUGCUAAUGUUGUAAGUGCAAGUAGUUUUUAAUGAGAGAGAGAAUGAUAGAGAGAGGACGGGUCUGAUGAGGCAGGAAAUGUCCAAGCCUGGGUGUCUCUAGAAGUGACGUAUUCACGUGCCAUGAAACAGUAGAGGGAAUUUGCUGAUGUGGAAAACUGCUGACAGGCUCACUGCCAUGUGGAAAAAUCCAUACAUCAAUGUGCUUUUACAAACACUCCUCAUUCUCUAACUUCUUAUUUACAGUAUAUGUUUACCUGUUUGUUUGUUUGUUUGUUUGUUUGUAUGCUCUAAUUUUUGUGCUCUAAUAUUGUCUAUUGUCUUAUUGCUCAUGGCCUUAGAGGUGAUCCAGGUAUCAGGAUGUGGCUGCUUUAGAGCUGCCACCCAAAUUCUGACCAGAACCAGGGAAGGACAGCACGUCUCUUCUGUAUCAGCUUCAGUACACUUUCCUCCCUUUAAAUUUAAGAUAUAAUUUCAAAUACUUUGUCUGACCUACAAAACUCUUUAUGGUCAGGCACCAUGAUAUUGUUAAGAGCUUAAUGUUCCCUAUUACCUUUCCAGAACAUUGUGGUCUUAAUAUGCAGACCUGCUUAUGGUAACCAGUGGUCUGGGUGGUAGAAAAUUCAGUUAUCAGGCCCCUGUCCUCUGGAAUGAUCUAUCAGUCGAAGUGUUGAGGCUAAAAACUUUCAUUUUAUGGAAAAGAUUACAGAUAGUAAGUCUGGUUCAGGCCUUGGCCGGCUCUUAGUUAUGCGGCUAUAGUUUUUAAAUACCAGGUUUACUGGCACAUUGAGCACCUUUCCCUCCUUGUCCAUCCUGUUUCCAUCCACAUGCAUCGACCACACAUGUGUCCUGGCAUUUUUCUGAUGCUAGAGGACAUAUCAUGAGAAAACUAAGUGCAAAAUUGCAUUUCAGAGUAUUUCUGCAUUCAAAUCUCUGUGAACUUCUCACAGACCCAAAUGGCAGGCUCAGACACAAUGAGAUUUCCUGAGUCACAAAUCCAAACUCCGCCCCCAGUGGCUCUGCUCUGCAGGCUAGACUCCAAAAAGUACAGAGGAUGAUGGUCGUGUGUGCAGUAGCGCAUUGCAAUGCUUGUAAGAAAGCUAAUUAUGAUGUUAGCUUUCAUCAUGCCCAAAGACAUUAGUGUCCAAGAGCUGAAUAGGUCCUGUGUUACUUGCCACUUCUACGGCACCGCCAAUGUUAGGCUACAAGCUAGCAUGAAGAGGAGUGUGCAGAGAAGCGCAGUCUCCGCCUACAACUAAGAGGACAAUUGCAAAUGAGCUACUGGAGCUCUGCAGUAUGAAAGCGCUUGAAUAUGACACAGAUAAUGUGAUUUUGGCUUAAAAAUUAAUAAUCAUAAUUGAACGACCACUGAGAGCACUUAAAAUCAUAAAAAACAACCAAACAAAAAAGAUCUGAGUGGGACUUUAAGAUUGUAGACUGUCUAUUAAAAGUGGUUAUAGCCCACGGUUUGAAUAAAAAACUGUGCAAGACUGCACAACACCUACAGAUCUAAGUACAUAAAUUACUUUAUUAUACCUGUUUAUGCUCUCAUUCAUUAGUUUUAGCUUUGAAUCAAUACAGCUUAAUGAUCAAAUUUUACAAUAUUUUCUCAUUAAGAGAGAAUGGCAAAGCUAUCUACAAUUUACAUGUGGCAACUAUAGUGACCUCUACACCAGGAUGGAGACAAAGCAAUGACAUUUCAACCUGUCAUUUAUAUGUGGUCAAUAUGGAGGAAAGUUAAAAAAGAUUAAGACAUAUUGCAACAUUUGCUCAAAAACAAUUAGCUAAUAGUUGCCAUCACAGUUAAUAUGUCUGCAUCUUUUUCACAGCCCAUGCUCAAGAGACAUACAUACUGUACCAUCAGGUAUGUGAGAGGUCAGUUGGUAUUGGAGAUGAGGAUAAAUAUAAUUUUGCAACUGCUAUGAAAUGAUGUAAUUCACAAAGAAUGUUAUGCAAUAUAACAUUUAUAUAACCUGAUAUAAACAGAAAGGUUUUUAAAAGGAAAGAAACACAGGUCAUAAAUAUCCAACAAAUAAAAAAACAGCCAUAAAUAAAAUCAACAUGACAACUGUAAAGUCCACUGGCGUCCUUGUAUCAGGGGCCGGUGGGGCACAGUCUGACCAGAGGGCGCUGCUUUGCAGGAGAGGCUUAUAUGCUUUUUUUUUUCAUUAUUAUUAUUAUUUUUUUUUUUAGGUUUUCCUGUGUCAAAAAUGUCGUUGAGUGUAAGUUAAUAAAAAAUUCAACUUCGUCCACACUAAGAUGUCUGCAGUUUUCAUUUGAUGUAUGCAGUUUCCCUACUCUCUGUUGUAGGGAUGCACGAUAUUUAUCGGACCAAUAAAAUAUCGGCCGAUUUGGGGAGAAAUUACGUCAUUUUUUAUCGGUCCGAUAGGUGCAUUUUUCCGAUAGAAAGAUCCGAUAUAUUAAUGAAAUUACGAGUAACGUUUGCAGGCGGAGUAGCCGCCCGUCCGGGACGCGCUGGUUAAGUCAUCUAUCGCGCCUUACUCACAGGUCCCAAGCCUGACCCCGUCACUACCUGACAGAUAAUAAAAUGUCUUCACCAGCAUGGUCGUUUCUCUCAGUGGCAGAAGAUGACAACAGCAUUGCUAUAUACAAAACCUGUUCAGCGCGGAUUCCGAGAGGAGGAAAGAAGACGUCAAGUUUUAACACAACGAAUCUGAUAGCUCAUCUGAAAAGUCGCCAUCGCGGCGAAGCGGUAGUAAAAGAAUAUGAGACAGCCGCCGAAGCUGCUAGCGGUACUAAAGCUAAGACAACAACACUACGGAGGAUCGAUGUCCCCAUUCAGCAGGCGUUUAAAAACUGCAAAAGCUUCUCAAGAGACAGCGAAAAGGCUAAAGCCAUUAACGACAAAGUGAUGGAGUUCAUAGCGGUCGACGACCAGCCUUUUUCCGUCGUUGAGAACCCGGGUUUUCGUAAGUUAUUAGAACACUUGGAGCCACGUUACACUCUCCCAAGCCGCCGCUUCUUCUCGGAUGUGUCUCUUCCUGCACUCUAUGAUAUUGUCGCCACAUAAAUUCACAACCUGAUCGACAAGAACGGACUACACGUGAGUUUUACCACAGACAUAUGGACGUCAGAUGUAAGUCCGGUCAGCAUGCUAAGCCUAACGUCUCAUAAUAGCUCCUUUACAGUUUACAGUUCUGUUGAACAGUUCAGGGGAUCAAAUGAAGUUCUGCUUUUUGCUCUGUUAUUGUUAUUUAUAGCAAAUGACCACAUUUGAAGAGCCAAAAACUUUUGUUUGUUGUUCUAGAUAGGCCAGAGCAACAAAAACAUCAGUUUUCAAUCGCUGCAUCCUGCACAAACUGCAGAUUAUAUGAAGAUUAUAAUAAACGUAAAAAUAUGAAUUUAUCGGUUAUUGGUAUCGGUAUCGGCCAUGAGAAGAAGAAAAUUAUCGGUUAUCGGUAUCGGUUGAAAUUUUUCAUAUCGUGCAUCACUACUCUGUAGUGCUGUUGUGUGCGAAUAGUUAAUUGUGCUUCUGUUUCUUCCAGUUGGGGCACAGUCGAGAUGGCGAACGGCUGCGUGUUCAUGUGCAGCGCACACUUUGGUGUCGGCAGUGGAGCCUGAAGUUCGGGGCCCCAGAGUGCUUCUUAUUGGCUGAUCAGAUGAAAGAGUGGAAACUACACGCGAGCUUGGCGACCAUAGUAACGCAACAUGACAAAGUGAACUUAUCCAAGGACUGUUGGAUUUUAACAGCAAGGUCACAGAGAAGUCUGCGCACAACAAGGACCGCAGAGCGUCAUACCUCUUCAAAAAGUGAUCCAGAUCGGUGAGUCUAUUAUUCUACAUGGAAUUUAUGAUAUAGUUUACAUAUUGUUUGAAUGAAAGUGGAAUUUACGUAAUGCGCAACUGGUGGUACGUGUGUGGGGGUGUGUGUAGUCACAAUCUUGAGGGAGCUGUUCACCUGUCUUUGGUGCUGAAAUGGCUGAUUGGCUGUGGCAUUAUUGUGUGUGGUGGCUUUGAUUGCUGUGUAUUGGGUGUGCGCCGUUCACGCCUUUGUAUUUUUAUUAUUGCCACAUUGUUUUAAUCUUGAGUAUUUGAUAUUGUGAGGCCUUGAACACUGCCAUUUGAUGGCGCUAUUGGUAUGAUAAUAUAAGUCGCCAGAUUGACACUGUUUGUGUGAUGGCAUUAUUCAGCUGCAGUUUUGUUGUCAAAGGUGCUGAGUUCCCCUCUCUCACUUGCUGAUGUGUUUUUGUUGAGGGUAUGAGAGUAAUAUCUGGUAUUUCUGGAUUGCAUUAUGAGAUUUUCCUGCAUGGUCCCACCAGAAUUUCCAGACCAAAAUCGCCCCUGGUAAAGUCACAAGAAUAUAUUAUAUCAGGCAGGUCACUUACUUCAAUGGCUGCCACUUGGAGUCUAAUGUUUUUGUUUUACUACUUUGAUUUGUUGGAUUUGCUCAGGUUUAAGUCCCCCGCACACUCUUUCCUUUGGCUAAGAUUUGGGCAGAAAACAUUUCCAACUUUCAGAUUAAAUCACUGUGCCAGCAAAAGAAGCCUAAACACUCACUGCCUCUGCACGCCCCAUCAAACUGGGAUUACACACAUGUAGCCCACAUACUCCCAAGCACACUACACACACCAAAAGCACGCGCAUUCAACAUGCACACAUCGCAGGGCAAUCAAUAGCGGUGGAGAUGGAUGCCGCAUGCUGAUGUACGCACUGACCUUUGACCUGUGAUUGAAUGAGGAGAUUUCACACACUUAAUCAUGAUAGGGCCAUUCCCUCCACAGGUCAUCUGCUGCUAAAUGGUUGAUAAGCCAGCACACUCUGUAUCUGUUGCUCAUAUGUUUACUGUCAAAGCAGUGGGCUCAGCUGACUGAUUUCUACUGAGUGUGAGGAAGCAAGAGUUUGUGCAGGCGGUUUAAGAGAAAGUGGGAUCCCGAAAGAGUCAGGGUAUGAGUGUGUAAAGGAGAGAGAGUGCCAAUCAAUUCCCAAAGCCCCCCCCUGCACAAUUCAUAUCUCAUCAGAGAAAAAACCCACUGGUUCUGGAAACAAACAGGUUGGAAUAUUGCAUUAGUAUCACUGUUAACAUGCCCGCUGAUCCAUGAACCGUUCAAUGGUCAAUAAAUUCAAUUUACAAAGAACAAGUCCAGAAGUAAACUCUUUGAGAGAGAACACGCCAUGUCUGUCUGAAACAACUACUUUGUUCUCAAGUUUUGUUGUGCCCCAACUCAAAGUGGAUUUUUACUGACUGCUAUAUAGCCUAGAUUAACUAUAAUAUCCUCGACAGAAUCACAGAUGCCUUUAAAAUUACUCCAUUCAGUUUAGGAUGAUAUUCAUAAACUGAAACCACAAAUGAAUAGGAAUCAUUAAAGUCCAAUUUGAUGUUUACAGACUCAUUUUCUGGUUUGGCAAAGGAAUCUUAUUCAGUAAACUUGCAAAGCUGCAAUAACUUGGGUAAUUGGUUAUGAGUAUCCGUAUUAGAAGCUUUUCAAGUAAUCAUCCCAAAAUCACUCAACAGGAAGAUGAGAUAAUUCAAGCAGUAGGUGCAAGAAAAGCAGGUAAAAAUUGAAAAGGAAAUUGAAAACAAUAGAAAGACGUUUGUGUUCACAUAGUGCUGGACGAUAAUUCGAUAACAAUAUAUAUCGAUCGAUAGACGUGUGCUGCGAUAGAAAAAAAACGGGUCGAUAAAAAGUUCGAUAGAAAAACACAGUUUCCCUUUCUUUUUCAUCAUAGCCUAUCAUGUAGCUUUUGCUACAGUCAUUACUUCCUCCCAACCAAUCACAAACGCAGACCCAGGUACGCUACGGCACCAAGCCCAGCCCCUAUCAAACCACAACAGACAGCACGUGUAUUAGAAAAAAUGAUACAGCAAGGAGAAGCGGAGGACAUUGUCAGUAGUUCACCAGCAUGGCAAUGUUUUGGUUUUUAGAAGUCUGACAAAAAGCGAACAGCGGUCGUUUGCAAAAUUUGCAGAGAAUUAGUAAAAACCAAGUCUGGUAACACAACCAACUUGUUUUACCAUCUAAACCGGUCGCACCCGCAGGAGUACGAGCUGUGUCGGCCGCGCCGCGGCUCCACGUCGUCGGAGGAGGAAUCCUCUGGAACCGCUGCCAGCACCAGCACAAAGCAAGUGAAGCAGACCAAACUGGACUUCGUUUCUUGCCAAAAUACGACAAAGCGUCCGAGCGGCAUAAGGACAUCACCCAUGCAGUAACAUGCUGCAUAGCGAGGGACAUACUGCCAAUAACUACCGUUGAAAAGCCAGGCUUCGACCAGCUUCUAGCCACUCUCGACCCGCGAUAUGAAGUGCCCGGCCGCAAGUAUUUCUCAAACACAGCGCUUCAGGCAUGAAAAUGGGUCAGGGGUUGAAAAGGUGAGAAGAAUGCACCCCUGCAUCCCGUCCACUCAUUAGCUUCUUAAAGUGGAAGAAAAUGAGCUCAUAUUUUACAAAGACGCGAGUAUUUGGAUCAUGGCUACUAGCAGGGGGUGCAUUCGGCAGGGGUGCAUUCUACGACACAACACCGGCGUGGAUAAGUCCUGCUUCUCGUGCUCAGUUUGCGUAUCAAGUCAAUCACAUGAUAAUUAAAAAAAAUAAAUCUCCCGACCCCGGGAGAAAUAUUUCAGUGUUCAGACACCAGGCUGUGGGCAGUUUCUCACACAGUUAAAACUGGUAGUAUGUUAUUCCCACCUAAAGCUAUUCUGUUUAUUUAUAUAUUUGUUUGUUUUGUUUAUUUUCAUCAAAAGACUAUUUAAAUAUUUAUUUAUCAGAUUUUCUGGUCACUUUAGUCUUUAUGUUUGUCAGUAUUUACUGACAUCACUCAGGCCCCUUAAGUUGAUUUCUUUUUUUUUUAGUUCUUUUUUAAAAAACUUUCAGUUGUGGUAAAAUAAAAAAGGUGGUUGAAUAAAGGUUUGAAUUUGAAUUCAGUGCUUCUGUGUUCUUUAUUAAAAGUAGGUCAUUAAGCAAUAGCAUAUAACAUCCAGGGCUGCAAUUAAAACAUAUGUUAAAUAAUUAUAAUAAUUAUAUCAAUAAUUAUCGAUAUCGAUCAAUAUGAUUUAUUUUUUAUCGAUAUGCUUUUUUUCUAUAUCGUCCAGGCCUAUGUUCACAGUUAUUCUUACAACUUUGGAGUCAGUUCAGUUCAUUGUUUUUUUUUUUUCUCUGAGGCAUUUACAUUUGAUGUAAAAUGUCGAUGAUUGUGUGUCUAAAAGGGAAGGAGGCCAAACUGGUUCUUUUGUGUUUUAUCACAAUAAAGAUGCGACUCUAAGGAUUAUUGUUUGUUAGCUGGUUGGUCAGUCAUUGUUAAAGGUUGUAAUAUCAGUGGUAUCUGUGUGAUUCCCAAAGAAUGGUCAAUACUGACUGUUGACCAUUUAAAGAUCUUACAAGAAGGUGGUCUCUGUAGUUCUCGGAGCAACAGUUGUACAUUUGUGAUUUUUUUGUCUAUGAACUUUGAAAUUGAAGGUUCAAAUCAGAGUCAGUUCUCAAUCGCAGGGUUUUAAUCAUCUGCCAUUGUCAAGUAAAAAUAUGCCUGGCACUUAAUUUGUUUUCACAAGGUCUGUCUCAGGAAGACAUUCAUAUUAAAUCUAAACCUCAUGCCAAAAAUCUAAUGUUACCAAACAUGAUACAAAAAGUUUUGAACAAAGCAAACAAGCCAAAUAUUGUUAAGUAACAAGAUUUCUGCCUCGUCAUCCAUAUUCUUCCAUCUUCCUUACUGAAUGUUUACUGAAGUUUGUAGACACAAACACUUUUCUUCAGCAUGUCUGUUGUCAAAAACUGAUAUUCAUAAAAUCACACUUCUCUCAGAUUCUCACAUCUUCAUUCACAGCCAAAAAACCUCGACCCAGCUGCUAAUCACCAUCUCUUUUAGCUUUGUCUUCAUCUGCCAAGAGUGUCAUUAUUAUUCCAGUACAUCACUCUUGUGGUUUCUGGUCUUUCCUCCCUUGGUUAGGCCUCUAAUUGAUGCCAGUUCAUAAACGGAGUUGUGUCCACAGACAUCAAGAAAUAGGAUCACUUAAUAAAACUAUCAAUCAGAAUUGCUGGUUUCAUAUUUUUUAAUAAAGCUCCAGGAUAGAGAUUUCUUGUGUAUAUAGAACAGCAGUAAAAGGUAAUAAUGAGACCUCAGUAACAGUCCCAGCAUGAGACACGCUGACUCUCUGAAGUAUUCAUGCCCCUUCAAUCAUUAUAAUGAACGGUUUUAGCUAUCUGGCUUGGUUUAAGGAUAAUCUGAUAAGAUUAUAUAUAUUAUAUUAUAUUAUAUAUUAUAUUAUAAACUGAAACUGAUUCUUCAGUUUAUUUUAAGAAGAUGCAAUUUGAAAGAAAAAAAUGACCAGUUUCUUAAAAAACAUUUUAAACUUGUAAUUAUAAAACAAAAGAACUGCCAAACUGGCCUUCCCAUGAUCCUUAGUGAUAGUUACUAUGCUAAAAGAUGCGACAGAGCGGUUUGAGCGCCAAAAUCUUACGUUGUAGCAGAGCUCUGGUUAUAAUUUUUUCUACAGUCAUAUCUUCCUCCUUCAGUGUGACCCUCCUGGCGCUUUUGAAUAAUACGUAGGAUGCGUCCAUCUCCAUUACAGCAGGUUAGCCUUUCUCUACCGCUCUGGCCUGGAGUUUUUGGUCAACAUUGUUAGCUACUUUGUAGCGCAAUGUGCGAACAGUAGAAAAGCACCAUGGGCAAUGGGGACAUCAAUAACCCUAAAACGAAAAGUAGAUUUAUUAUUUUUUUUUCAUUUCCAUCUCUAUUAUAUAUUCUGUUUUGAACUGAAAAUACGAAAACAAACACUAAUCUUUUAUUUUUUGGUUAUAUAGAAAAACAAAUAAACAAAAUAUUGACUCGUUUUUUUCGUUUUUCGUUUACUAGAUUGAAUGGAAUAAUUGAAUGGACGGAUAAUACACAGACCAGAGAGAAUAUCAUGAAGUAGAUAUUUCACUCUGAUGGACCUUAUGUGCACAAGAAAAUAACUUGACUGAAGGAAAUUGUAUCCUUGAUGCAUUAUUUGGCUAAAAUACAAAAUAUCUGUCAAACCUUGGAUUCAGUCAGGCUGAGCACCCUUGGUUUUAUAUUUAUGGGAAAACAGCCAAUAGUAUAAAAGAUCGUAUUAACCUUAUUAUGAUCUCUCCUCUGCGUGAGUUUGUUUUUGUUUGCAAACAGGUCAGUCAAAAUGUUUCUCUACUGUGAGAAGCUGCCUUCGCCACAUUGUGAUAUUUAAGGAUUCACUUUACUCAUACACACACACACACACACGCACACACUAACAUGCAGGAUUUAGCAGGACAUUUGGAGGAGAGUAAACAGAGAAUAUUUCAUCAGCUGUGUGAGCUGGCAAUAUUAGAGCCUGUGGUAACAGCAUUACAGUCUAUUUGUUUGAGGUAGUGAGUUUCUCUUUCACUCUUUCUCUCACUCUCCGUCUCUAUGCAUGCGUAUAUUUAUGUGCGUGAGUACCACAGCCUAUAAUUGUAAGGAAUGUAAGCUUACCUAAAUUGGUAUAGUUGGUAUUCACGCUAGUUGCAAAGAAAAAAGCCACAUACAGUAUGUAUUCCUCUGCUUCAUGUGAUGGAGUGGCUAGGUAAAUUCAGGUACGAUCUUUGUGUUUGACCACUGUGUUUCAAUGAGAUAAAAGUCUAACAAGCUAAGGACACGCUUGUUCCGCGAUUAUCCUCUCUAUUUUUCCAAGUAUGGCAUAGCAUAGUGGGGCUCUGGAGGCGGAGCUUGGAUUUGCUAUGUAAGAAAUCUCACUGUAUCUGAACCUGACAUUUGGGUCUGUGAGAGAUUGACAGCGAUUUGAAUGCAGAAAUACUCAGAAAUGAAAUUUUGCGCUUGGUUUUCUCACGAUAUGUCGUGUAGCAUCAGAAAAAUGCCAUAUGAACAUGUAGACAAUAAAAAACGUGAUUUCAUUGGAGUGGGUCUUUAAAGACUUUUCAUGGUAAGAUAAUAAACAGAAGUGCAUUAAUUGGUAGAAAAUCCUUAGAAAGGGCAUUGCAGUUUCCAUGUCCUAAAAAUGAAGGUUUUUAGGUUCAUCAAAUUGGAUCCUGGAUCAAACUUAGAAACCUUGUUACUGUAUCUUUCCGAACACAAGUUUAGGGUACACAAAUCCCAGACUCUGAAGGCUACAUGAUACAUUAAAUUUAAAAAACAAAACAAAACAAAAAAACACUAGAAUCCCCAUUAGAAUGAGAAUAAUCCGUUUCAAUAUCAGGAGCAUGUCUGUGGGCACAAAAUUCUGGGAUUAUUCUCACCGUCUUUGUUGAGAACAGAAAAAAAAAAAGAAUCUUCGAAGCACCAUCAUUGCUGAGCAUCUUUCUUGUUAAAUCUGCAUGUCUUAUUGCAUAAACAGUAAACUUGGACCACCUCUCUUUUUUUUUCUGCUUUGAACCAUAAGAUCUGGCCUUAGGCUCACACAUCUCACAAUCCUCUGAUUGAUUUCAGGUCAAAAAGAGGCAAAAUGAUUAUAGAUCAGGUUAUAGUUCACUCAAGCAUAUAGCUACCCAUUUUCAUUAGAAUGCUUGACCGCCUCUAGCCCACCUUCAAGGACAAGCAAUGGCAGUAAUGGCACAUAAUCACUACCAGUAUCAGGUCUUUCCACUAACUGCAUUACUUAGUCGCUACCAGAUUUGUGAUUAAAUAAAAAAAAACAUCAAACCCAUUUAUGAAAACGGCAUCCCCCCUCCUGACACACCCACAUACACACACUUCCACUGCCUGUAAGUGAUGUGUUUAAAUAUGCUGUAAAAAAAUGGAUAAUUGAGUUACAAAGUUUUAUUUGACAUCUUUUUCCAAGAGGCACUUCCUUUGUACUCAUCCCUUGACUUCAUCAACUUCCCUGCUGUCCCUUUCCUAACCUCUCUUUACUACUCAAACUCUCCCUCAUUCCUGCUCGUAAUUAGGUCCCAUGGCAUCGUCCUCACUGUCCAGCUGUGAGGGUGUGUGUGUGUGUGUGUUUUUGUGCUUGUGACGUUGAUAAUAAACACAUAUCACACUAUUAAAGACACAUACUCCACUUAUCAUAUCAGAGCUAUGUGUCCCUACUGACUUGGGAGUUUAAGCGUGUUUGCGUCUUCUUUUUUUCUUUUCUUUAUUUUGGAGCGUGGCUUUGUGUUGUGCAUAUUAAUCCGGCAUGGGUUCUGUGUGUGUGUGUGUGCAUGUGCUUUGUGGAUCUCACGGCCGUGUGUUUGAAAUAGAGACAGCCACAGACAAAGCAAAGAGAAAGUUGAAGGACAGUCCAUGCACUUGAAAAUCUACCUCAGUAUCAUACACAACUCACAAGUAUUUUUAUUUUCUUAGCUUGUUGUGUGCAGCGUUAUCCCCAGCCUGUGGGGGGCAGUGUGACUCCAAUAAUCCUGGUGACACCUGAGGAUUAAAUGUAUAAACUAAACCAUACAGUAAAACAAUAUUCAAUUGAGCUUGAUGAAAUUGCAUUAAGGUUAUGUACCAUGAAAGGUCGUUGCAUGGGUGACUACAAAUUGCAACCUUAUUUCAUCAAUGCUACAUUGAGUAGGUUGCAGAGUAAAUGCUUCCUCUGGGUGUGUACCAUGUUGAAUGGUGUCUUUUUGGUAUCUAAUGAGGUACAUUUGAGUUACUCUGAAAUAAGUCCUUGCCUUUGUAUUAAAAAAAUCUGUAACCCUCUUCAGGAUUUUUACACUAUGCUCUCAUCCCUGUCUGCAGAGGUAACCUUUUUCUUCUGCAGAAAACCCAACUUUUUUAUUGCCUCAACUAGGGCUGGGCGAUAAAACGAAAAAGAUAUAUAUUGAAAAUUAAUUUCCUUCAAUAUCAAUGUAAGACAUGAUCAAUAUCCUUUUAGAUAGUCGGCAUUCUGCAAUGUUUUGGUAGACUAUAUGAAUAGCCAAUUAAAAGGGACUCCGUCUGGGUCCGCUAUGCGCUGACCCAAUCAUGUGUUGAAUUAGAACAGGCUGCAGCUACACGCAACCAUAACACUUUAACACGUGAAGCCAUGAAGAAAAUGAGUGCUACCCCCGGCAGGAAUGCAGAUGAAGGCUCAACAGAGGACGACAUUGUCGACAACAUUGUCACGAAAACAUUGAUGGUGUGGAGGUAUUUUGUUUUUUUGAGGUCGGACAUGAAGCAGAGUAGUGUGCACUGCAAAUUAUGUCGAGUACAUGUCCUCACAAAGUCAAGGAAUACCUCAAAUCUUUUUCACAACCUGAAGCUGCGCCACGCAGCAGAGCACGCGCAAUGCAAAAGGUUAUUAACCCCAAGUGGAGCAAGGAGCCCAUGGCGCCUGUGCAGCCGAAACAGCUGACCAUUCAGUCCACUUUCUCUAGUGCAACGCCUUAUGACAAAAUGUUGAAGAGACACAAAGACGUCACAGAUGCAGUAACUUCUUGUAUUGCAAUAGACAUGCUACCAAUGAGCACUGUUUAAUUUCAUUUUUUUAUAUUGUGAUAUAUAUCGACUGAUAUGAAAAAAUAUAUUGUAAUAAACUUUUUCCCAUAUCUCCCAGCCCUAGCCUCAACCCAUGAGCACAACAGGUGAUCAGAAUCCAGAGAUAAACUUCUGGAUGUCUGAUGUAAACCCCGCUUAUAAUGUAAACCGACCCUCUUUCCCUCAGUGAGCUUGAAACCCUCAGAGGAUGCUUUGGGCUGGUCUUCACUCCUGUUGUGCUCAGCCUGUGACAACACUCUUCAACAAAUGGUGGCACUGCCUGAGGAUGCAAAUAAAUGCUUUGACUCUCUGUUGGGUGACAGAGACGACACCAGUGGGUGUCCUGGCUUUAGGCAAAUGCAUCAACUUGUACCUUUUUGGAGUCUAGAUUUGACUCACCCUGACUGGUUGCUUCAUGCCGUUCAGUAACCUCCCCCUUCGGACAUGAUGUCAACCCCUGUUUUUCAUAGAGUCAGAAUGUCACUCUCUUUCUUUUCAGUCGCAGAGAGUCUUUUUGGCUCAACACUGCGCGUUUCCUGGAGGCCUCAACAGUGGCACGGGUCAGGAUUUGCUCCCUUUUUAAGAAGCUACUGCUGAUGUGUAACUUCGGCAUAAGACAAAGAGCACCACCAGUCCAUCAGCAGGGUAUUUCAGUUUUCUUUACCUACAGGAAGUUCUGCCUUAACACCAAAGGGGGGCAAGGAAGACGCAGUGGAAGCUGACAGUGCUCAAAAGUUUAAAAACCCGCUGGUCUCUGCCCAGCAGCAAGUCUUCUUCCUCUUCAUCACAGAGGAAGUGAGAAGCAGUGAACCCAGAGUGCUGCAUCAAGCAGUUGCUUCAAGAGUCUCCAGGUAGAGCUCUCACAGUUUGUCUCUCUGCUGAGCGAAAGUGGACCAAGGUCGGGAUUAGCACAGUCAUACAGGAGAGUUCCUGUACAGAUAACUGGGCUCAUCCUGAUUGACUGGGCAUGUAAAUGCAGACUUAAUUGUUUGGAGGUUCAAAGUAGAAUAAUCAAGACUUGGAAGCUCUGCCAGGGAGCAAAGCCUGUGUAGAAAUGUAAAAUAAAUUGUCUUUUGGAGACAGGCUUUUGCUGACAAGAACAGAAGGGGCAGAAAGGCAAGAGAAAACAAGAGGAGGAAGAAUUCAGUGCACAGUAUUUUGAUAUGCCCUCAUAUUAUCCUUAGUGCCCCAUGGGAGAGAACCUUUGUGAUUGCUCCAUUGCUCUUUUAAAUCCCCUCGAUUACUGUGUCUGCAUUUCAAAUGCUGCUCUACAAAGUACACUACUUCUGCAAGCCCUAAAGCCUUAGGGCAAGAACUAUUGCGCACUAACUGGGGAUUAUAGGCUUGUAUUUGCCAUUUUCUCCUUGUUAUUGGUCUUCAGUGAAUAGCUCCAUUUCCCAUGUAUGGGAGCUCUCCUACUGUACAGGAACUGAGCAGAAGUAUCUCUAUGCGUAGUGAUACAUUGGGCAGCAUGCUGAAUUAUUGAUUGGUUCCCAUGGAUGAUGAUGAUGAUGAUGAUGAUGAGACUUUGUAGUGCUCUGGGUUAGCUCUGGGGCAGGCACUUUGAUUAAGAACAGUACCCUCUCUUCCUGCUGCGAGGGGGAGAGAAACAGAGAUGGAGCAAGAAGAGAUGGGGAUAGGUGAAAUCUAAUAGAUUUGCAAGUGGACAAUAGUUCUCUAAAACAUUUGGACAGUGAGACGGAGAGGAAAGGAGAGGAAACUGAGGGAAGGAUAUGGUUGUAGGGGAUGCAUAACAAAUGAGGAAAGGGCUGGUAAAAGAAUAAAGAGAAGGAGGUAAAGGAGAAAAUAUGAGCCAUACAAAUGGAAAAAGCCCACUGUAAAGACAGUAAAUGUUUUACAGUCUUUGGGAAACUGCUCUGGGCGUUCAGCCCAGCACUGCCAGGGCUGAUUGUAAGACCGUUAGUCAAUUUCUUUGCAGUAACCUCACUAGGUUGAUGUAGCACCACCACAGUUGAAUGCUGUUCAAUUUUCAUACCAGGCUCUCUAUUUCUGCUGUACAGCUGGAAAUUGAUACACUUUGUCUGGUCUAAGAAAUUGUCCUGUAUGUUCUUUUUUUUCCUCUGGUGAUAUCUGUAAUGUGGGGCUGUAACAUUCUCUGAGGACUAUAAGGAGCAGAAAUGCAACAGAUUGCAGAGCUGUUUUUUGCAUUUUCUUUUUCAUUUUGUUUAAAAAACGACCUUAAAAAUGCUCUCAGUUAAUAACUCAACUUUGGGUUGAAAAUAACAUUAGCACCAAAGAGACAAUGUCUCUAUAUUUCCAGCUUUGAUUUAAUUAAACUCUUAGUGGUUCAUUGUUUAAUUUCUUGAAUCUCUUUUAACCUUCUUAAAACAAAGGAUUCACAAUAUUCCUAUUUAGCAGCCGGAUAAAUUACCCCUUCAUUUUACUAUAUUAAGUUGUGAAUUCAAUCUUCUGGUAACGUAAAAACCAAACAAAAGCGUCACUAACACUUUCUUCUUUUCAUCCAUUUGCUUUCUGGAGUUUCUCGGUUUCUCUCGAUUUCUCAACAGCUUUGCUCUCUUUCUUGUUCACAUGUCUCAUUCACUCUACUUCAAACUCCCUUUUACCUCAAGUUGUUUAAAAGACACAGGGGGUUUCUGUCUAAAUUAGGGGCAGUCAAUAGAGAGAGUGUGCCCUAAGGUAAGGGAAACUGGCACUCUGCAAAUAUAUCUUAGCACUGAACACAGAGAGCAAGAAAAUGUGUGAGCUUAAGUGUGUCCUUCCUCAUUUUUUUCCCAGCAUACUCGAUACUCAAGUAUGAAAUGUAACUGGACGGGUGUUCUGUUGCGAGCACAAACUUGAGAUGCAGCAUAAGGACCGGUGACAAAAGAUGCUCGCUGGAAAGGCUUUAGCUUCAAAUAUCAGCGAGGAGUCUAAGUGCGCUGGAUAGAAAUAUGUGUCUUUGUAUGAAAAACUAGAUUUGCCUUUUGCAUGUGGCUUUAAAUACAUGUGUUUGUGUUGUGUGCGUGUGUGUAUGUGUGUGUAUAGGUCAUGAUAAAUAGUAGCCUAUGUAUGAGUUUGAUUAACUGCCAGUGAGGUCAGAUUACAGUGGUCAGCCAAAAGGCCAGAGGCAGCUUUAGUUGUCAAAGAGCACAACACACACAAACACCCACACCCACAGAUCCAAUUUUUCUUUCCUGCAGAAUUUCCUCAUGCAUCCCUGCAGUAUGUGUGAUCACGAAGUACAACCAUGGCCAUUGCAGUAGCCAUAGAUCACACGCCUGUUUGCAUUAAGGAGUAUAUGUAGCGCUCCUGAAAAAUUACCUGAGCUGGUUUAGCCGCAUGUUAUUACUCCUUUUCCCUCACUAGCUGUCAGACAUAUUCAAACACACCCACACACUUGCUUUAUCACCCACCUGUUGCUGUCUCUGACAAAUCUAGCUAACUGUUUCUCUGUGUCUUAUGAGAGGCUGCGGCAGAAGCUUAGGCCUGGGGAAAGGUCAGUGAAUAAACCGGGGUCUCUGUGCUUUGGCACUGGGGGAUCUUACAUGUGUGGAGAGCAUUCAAGCACAGAGAAUGGAAGAUGAUCAUGUAUGCAUGACUUAUGUGAUAAUUUUACAAAAAUAAAAUGAUUGUAAUGAGUUUUCUGAUUUGACAUUCCGAGGCCUGGAUUAGAAAACUGAACUUGAAGGAGUUGCAGCAACUGCCUACAUAUGGAUGCAUAUGCUUUACAGAGGGGCUAGAAGGGUCUGGAACAACAUUGGUGCUCCAGCCCUGAGUCUGGAGAAGACAAAAAGCAGUCCUAGUUUGCCACAUAUAGACAGUUUAUGAUCUGCCAAAUGGAGAGCAGGGACGGGGACACAGAGUAGUGCCCAUCAUGGUCCUUCUUACCCUGUCAAAAGUCCAGUUAGCUAUAACACCUAACUUACUAUACAUUAUCCCCGUAGAGUAUAACCAGCCAACCAUUCUCAUUACUUGUUGGCUUUAGGUAAAAAUAAAAUUAAAAUAAUAAUAAUGGCACAACAUCUACAAACACUGGAUUUUGUUUUUUGCUUGGUCUUUAAAACUUAACAUGGUUGUUUUGCAGCCAAACACAGAUAAUAAAGUUGAUUGGUUUUUAGUCACUAAUCACAAAAAAUCAAAUUAGUACAUCAGUUUAACUUCUAUUGACAAAAAUACUCAGAUGAAAAUUUUGUGAAGAUGUUGUACAAACACAGCUGCAAUUCAGGCCUCUUGUAUGUUACUACAAUCAUGUGUGUGUUGUGCAUAAAACAGAAAUAGGAGGCACACAGAUGGUAAAUCAAUGUCAUUCAGUGUUUUCUGUGGCAUUUAUAUCCUUGCCUUCUGUGCUGCAGCAGAGAAUGUAUUACUCUUCCAUGUUCAUCAUUGUUCCUGUCUAGUUAAGGAACACAUUUUUUUUUGUGUGUGUGGAAAAAGCUCCAAAUACUGUUUUUAACACCCUUUUUAGCAAGAGCCUUAAAGGGAUAUUCCCUUUAAGGCUCAGUGAUCGACUCGUCAGGGCUCCCCUCACAAACAAGCGGCUGCUGGAAGAGAGUAGGUGAGUUGUGUUUAGUCUCUUUGCUAAAGAAAUUAGGCAAAGUUAAAAAGAUGUUUGGUGGCUAGUGCUGUGGCUGGGACCCUAUAUGUACUGUUGAUGAAGUUAGGUGCUGUUCUGAGCAUUUUUUGUGGCUAUAGAGUGGCGUUUUGGUUGUGCUUGGGUCGUGGAGACGUAGACUGCUGUGUAUUGCUAUCAAGCGGUCGUUGCUGAAGUUGGUGUAACUAGAGAAGCAAGCAGUCGGCAACAUUCAUCUCUCGAGGGGGUGUCUAACUCAGUGUUACGGUGUGUUGAACCAUAACUUAAUUUUACGCCGGGAUAUCCCUUAAAGUGCUGUAUACCUUGUAUGUUUGUGAUUUGUUCACAGCAGCUUUACCUUCUUUUUUUUCACCUGAAUACAUUUUAAAUCACUUUCCUUUUAUUUGUUUGCUUCAUUUUUAAACUUGUUUAAAAUACAUUUUAUAAAGUAAUUUUUUUUCCUGUACCACCCUUGAAAUAGACUGUAAAAAUAAAGCAAGAAAGGAAACUCUUAUUCAAAGUCAAGGGGGGGAUGCAGAAUGGGAGAACCAAGACCAUGAAAUGAGGAAAGAAGAUUUAAAGACGGUAACCUCUAUCUCUCUUCACUUAUCUCUCUACUCAGUCCAUUUCCUUCUUUCCUCCAACACUCCUCUCUUUUAUCCCUGAUAACUCAGCCUGCUGUCUGCAUAAUAGGGAUGGAAAAUGUUCUUCUACCUCCCAUUUACUGGCAGGACAUAGCUUAGAUUUCACAUCUCAGUAGUCCUCAAUGAUUCAUCAUCAUGUCAGCCAUAUGAGGCUGAUUUUACAUGCGUUAACAUCUUAAAUAAGUACAGUAAUGGCUCAGUCAUCAAGGAAUGGAUGACUUGUGAUCAGCUGACUUUUUUUCCCUUAACUUUCACCGAGUGAAGAUCUGUUGCCUGCUGACAGUCACAGUAUUAAACCAAAGCCCUUUGCAUUUGGCUACCUCAUAUUCAGACUCUAAAUGUUUGAGCUGGGCAUACACUGUGAUUUAGACACAAUUUUUAAGUCACAUGACUGCUCCAGAAGUCAGGCCGAAUUUUAGCCUGAUUCAUGUUGUUUGUCAUGCAAUGUACAGAAGUUCAAGAGAGUUGAUCAUAGUCCAAUCAGUUGGCUGAUUGCACACCCUGGCAAAGAUAAAUCAGGACAACAACACGAUAACAGUUUCAGGACUUUGUUUCUGUGUGAAAUGGCAACAUCUCAACAUACUUUGUGAUGUGAGCAAGUGGAAUAUGUGAUGAAAAUCAUUGGCUGUAUAUACUAUGGACAACUCAGUUCCGCCAAUGUAGGGAUUUGAAGCUAAAAAGCUCUUGUUAUUUCUGGGUUUCUUUUCUACUUCCUUAAACCAACAUUGCACAUUAGCAUUGUACGCAUUUGGUGGAAGAGUCGCAGAGAGUCGCUGUGAUGACGCUCGGCUCAAACAGCGUAUCCCCCCUGGGUGAGCUAUGCAAUCUCUGUACACCCAUAGGCUGUAUCAAGUGUCAAUCAUAGAAAACAUGAACCCCUAAUAACUUAAAAAUGGAGCUGUAAAGAAAAAAAGAGGACUUGAGCACAAACCAGUUUUACAACAACUACAUGUCAACAUCGUAGCCAGGGAGGAGAAAAAUUUAUAUUCUGUUUAACAAAUUCCUAAAGUUCGUCCACAGCAUAGGGAUGGCUGGUAGAGGCGGGAUUUAUGACCUAUACUGCAGCCCGUCACCAGAGGGUGCUGUUCAGCGAGGAGGCAGAUGCGUCUAUUCUAUAUACAGUCUAUGGAUGAAACACACUGUGGCAAUAGUAUUGUGUGGUAAAAGUAAGUGUGUUGCAUAGAACAGAGGCAAACUGGAGCAGUAUUCUCAGAAUUACAUCUACCAACUUGAAGUUAAAGCAUACCGAUUCUCAGCUGUCUUCUGAAAUGAGCCUCAUAGACACUGUUAUAGAUCUUUCCUGCAGCAUCUAUAAACCUUAGCAUAAACAGUAGAUUGAAACACAAAAGGUUGUUUCUUAACUAUAGAGAGCACAGUUGGAGUGCAGGGCUGUGCCAUUAUGUGUCUGUAGACAAAAACAUACACAGAUCGAUACCUGGGAUAUGUCAGACCUUGGAUUGUUGGUGUAUCUACAGAAACUACACUGCAACACCCUGCACUGGUGAUCAGGGACUUGUCUUUAAUGAAAAACCCAUGUGGCGCAUAGGUGUAACUGCAUUAAUCAUUCAGAACCCAGGCCACACCAAUGGUGUCAGACAGGAUUUAUCUGUGUGUUUCUGCAUGCAGAAAAUGCACACUGAGCCAUCAGUAUCCUCACGCUGGGGAACUUAGUGUCAGGAGUUGGUAUAUGUCAGAAAGGUGCUCACUGAACGAAAUAAUUAUUGUUGAAGUCAUAUUCUUUGACUGUAACUUCUGUGUGUUUUCAAAGGAAACAAUGUUAACUGUCAAAGCCCUGUCUGGAUUUGACACACUCACACACUCAGCUGGUGUCUGCAUGGGGACUGUUUUUGAUGCCUACCAGCUCAUGAUUUAUGUGCUCAUACUGUACUGCCCAAAUAUCAAAGAGUAAAUUCACUUUCCAUUGUGAUUUUUUAUUAACUUGUACAGUCUCAGGCCUUAAUCCUGAGUUUAACUUAUAAGGAGUCCUCAACCCGACAUAGGCCCUCGUGGCACCCAGGGUUGACAAACUGUCUCCUCUCAGCUAAACUUUCAAUACUUGUGAAUACGUCUUAUAAUACAUUCAUACACUCCCUUUUUACUGCCCUAUUGUCUUCCUCUUCACUGCUCUGUCUCCUUUUGUAUUUGCCCAUCUCACUUAUCUACUUCCUUAUGAUACCCUUUCUAUCAAGCUCUGUCUCUUUCUUCCUCUUCUCGUCAGUCGCCAUCCGCUCUCAUUCCCCCCUUUCUUAUCUGACUCUUCACAGCUGUCUGCAGUGUCAUUCACAUUUUACAGACGGGUGCUGCAAGUCCACCUGUGUCUCUCCUCCUUUCUCUCUUUCUCCUCUCUCUAUCCAUCAGGCUAACAUAUCUCUCUUGGGACCAGGAUUUUUUUACCCCAUAAGUCUUUGCUUUGGAAUAUAAAAAAAAAAUUACCCGCCCCCGUGAUGAUUGCCAAUACUUUGCUGGAGGUCUGGAUGUGACAGCCUCUUGUACUAGGUCACCUUGUGUUGGUGUGUUUCAGUAGGUGAUCCUUGUUGACCAAUAUUAUAUAAUCUGUUUUGCCAUUUUAAUAAUUCUGUAUUGAUCUCACUGCCAAACUCCAAAAGUACAGCUUGUAUCAUUGUAACUUGAUCUCCUUUCUCUCCUCUCGCAUACUCAAUCAGACCCCUUUUUCUGUUUUCUUAACACAAUAGCUCCCUCUAUGUUUGAUGAACUCUUUUAUUACUUUCAGCUGUCUGACAGCAACAUUUCAUCAUCUUUGCAUUGCAUCUGUAGUAAUCAUUUGAGUUUGAGUCUAUAUCACAUCUCACAAUCCACUGAAAUUCUGCUGUAACACUGCUGUCAGUAAUCAGACAGGGAUUAGAUUUAUAGAUGCAAACAUGUUUAGUUGGUCAUGAUGAGUGCUAGACAUUUGGCUUGAAAUCUCAAAAAGUAACCAAUGAUUUACUCGGCAGAUCAGAAUUUGACGGAUAUCUUCCCCUGUUCUGAUUGACAUCUGCCGGGCUCAGCACAUAAUGAAAGGAGUCUUCAACAUGUAAACUCAAAUAGUGAUUCCUGCAGCUCCAAACAAUGUUUUAUUUAGUCAUCUGAGUUAGAAUCAGAGACAGAGAACCUUGGACGUUGGUGACUAAAUAGGAGCUAGGAAGUGCUUGACUAUUCAUGUGUCACUUCAGAAAAAAAAAACAAAAAAAACAAUGUGAGGACCCAAAAUGCAGAAUGAGAACAAUCUAUCCAUCUUUGAAGAACUUUCCACUGAGCAUUUUAUGGUCUAAAAGAGGUCUAAUAGACGUCUAAAUGUAGCCUAGACAACUGGUCUAAAAUCAGGCUACCAAGGGUCUAACAAUAAACGUUUUUUAGACGUCUAAAUUGAGACCAAGUUUAGACCAAGUCUAAAUCUGGCUUAUAUCUAUACUACACUGUAUAUUGCCCAACGGCUAUCAUGAUUAUUUUGGUUAAGUACUUGGAGAUCAGUUCUGCAACUCACAGUUGCUUUUUAAAGUAAAUAGUUAUAGAAUUAUGGGUUAAAGUGCAACGUCUAAAUUCCGUCUAAAAAUAUACAGAAUCUAGACGGUUGAAAUUAGGUCUAAAAAAAAAAUAGACGUCUAAUAGCCGUCUGUUGCUCACUGGGUAAAUUUUAUGCAAAUGUCUUAAGAUAAGGUCCACCCCAAAUCCAAGGAGACAAAAACACAAGAAGACACAAGAAGAAACAGUGAAGGUUAAAAAAAGAUCCAUAAUGAAAUACAAGAAGAUCAAGGUGAGGCAAGACCCAAGAUCUAAAGAAUCACGAAGGAUUAAACACAAAGAAGUGACACAGAAGGGAACAGAGAAACUGUUUCCCAACACCAAUGCCCAUAAAGCCAAAGCACUGACCUUUUACCAGCUUAAGUGGUAAAAGAAGUGCGUAAUAUGAGUAUAUGAAAGCACACAGUGUUAUAUAAAUGAAACACAGGACCUACUUUCAUGACAUGGAAACAAGAUACGCUACCAUUUACCAACCAAAAAAAUAUAAAGUAAGUAAUUUGGCAUUGUGAAGUCUACAUUGGAGAGUUCUAGCAGGACAACAUUAUAAACUUACUUAUCCAGAAUGCAAAAUCAAUUUUUUCAGCCACCAAUGUUUAAGACCUGUCAGUAGGUAUAGUGGCUCUUUAAGGGUUAAUUCUGUCAGUGGUCAAGUAGCUUUGGGGUAAUUUAUUACAGAACUUAUUUUGGUAAUUUCUACAAGUAUUCAAAUGUUGUAUGAACCCAACACCAAGAAACUUCACAGUAACAUCAAUGACAUUAUUCCUUAUUAGCACUGAAAACAUUUUCCUAUAACUGCUGCAUUACAUAUAAACAAGGCUAUAUCACAUUUAGAUUCCAUGUUUUCGCAUCAGAUCAUCAGAUUGCUUUGUUUGACUUUUUAUCAGUCAUUUUGAAUUAAGAUACAAGCCAUGUGGUGAUGACAGAGCUGCUUAAUUAAGAAAAUAAUGGCCUAUCACACAUGUCUUUGUAGUUAUUUUUUUCUUGGUAAUUGGUGCGGUGAUUAGGACACGAUAUAAGACACAACCAGCUUUACUUUCUUAGAUAUCAUGUGCCCUCAAAACACAUGUCCUUCCUGUUUGUUCCCUGACUAGUAAUGGGUGCAUGUGCUCCCUGCAGAUUAAAAGACAUCAAACAGAAAUGAAAGGCGCUACUAAAAGGAAAUUGAAGGCUUUGAAGAAAACAUAACAACGAAUCAUUUUUCCUAUCUGUUAAGAUACUGGACUGUUUUGUAUAUUAAUACUACAGAGGGUUAUUACAAGACAGUGAGGGAAGAUGUAAAAUUGAAUAUUUAUAACCAUGUUUUUGAACCAGGGAAAGUGAGUUCUAGGAUUAUUGCUGAAAUCAGUUUGUACUGUAGAAAAUCUAAAAUUUUCAACCAAAAUAAAAGGGUGUAUGCCUCACAAUCUAUUGUUAUCUGGGGCUUAGCUUGUUUGUUUUAAUACACAGUUUGCAUCCUUGUGAUCGUCCACUUUUUACAGUGGCUGUCAUAUUUUAAAAUGUAAAUUGAAUGAGUGUUCAGCCUGUUUAUCCCUAGAAAAUUGAAACUGUCUUAGUCUUGCCAUACAAAAGUUACAUUUUAAUCAAGGCAGUGAUUUGUACCAAAAUAACCUCACCUGACUUUUUUUCUUCAAUGCUUGUACUAAAGACGGAGGACACCUGGGAGCCACGGGCUCUUUUAAUAAGCAGGAUAUGUUUUCAGAACAAGCUCUGCUCAUGCAUAAAUCACAAGCAACACACACAAUUGCUUCAUAAAAUAUUGAAUUGGUUUUCACUGGAGUAUAUGACUUAGAUUUUAGCCCUGAAGAGAUGGACUGUGCCUAGAAACUGUCAUCUAUAUAGGUAAACAAGUAAUUAAAGCUAUAAACUGUAUUAAUGUAAUUAUGAUAGGAAACUGUGUGACUCCAAAACACAAAAUGACUUCCUUCCUUUCUUGCUCUAGAGUGUAUAUGAUUUAUUUAAAAUUCCAUGCACCUAUAAUAACAUAAGUUCUCAUGAUGAUCAUACGUGACGAGCAAACAUGUUUCCUCAUAAUCACACUGAUAAGGAACCUUUUAUAUUCUGUAUGUUUCUUAUCAGUGUAAUUAUGUGGAGACAUGUUUGCUCGUCACUGCAUACAUUUAAAUGAUCAAAUGUCUUAGGUAGACCUAUGGGCCGAUUCCAGGAAGUUCAUGAACAAUGCCCUAUUGAUGCACAAACAUGUUAGGGAGGAGGCUCUGCCAUCUGGAGUAAACAGGACAUGAACUGAAACGGUUUGAGCCAUUUCUGCUAGACAUGUUGUCAACAUGCCUGACCAUGCCUGCUAACUAUCACUUGGAAAAAUCCUUUAAGUAUUGUUGUAUACGUGUCGCAACCUCUCUCUUUGCAUGUUUCAGGUGGAUGAUUUAAGGUGGGUACUUGUUGUUGUACAUCCGUUUACACUUAUAGAAGAAAGAAGUGUAAUUGAAAUCAUUUUAGUGUAUUUAAGCACCACCUUUACGUUAUUAUGUGGGUCACAUUAUCAAAGGCAAAGAUCUGCUCACAGUACAUUACAUUCAUAUAGACUUUACUGGUUUCUAGUAUUUACAGCCUUUUUUGUUGAAGUCAUCCAGCCAACACUUCAAUGCCAACCUGUUGUUUUCGACAAAAACAAACCUUUUUAUAUUUCUUAAAAAAAAUGCUUCUUUUGAAAGUUAAAGAAACUGAAUUUUGAUGAUGCGUUGAUUCUCGUGAUCCCUCUGGAUAAAACCAGUAGUGUUGAUUGGAGAUGAAGAUUACAUUGCAUAAGCACAGUCUAAAAGAUGUGGCCCUUCCCAAAGCAUGCAGUUGUUGUGGAUGUAAAUAAAUGUUUUACAUAACUUCUUUUUUAUACUACUUUUCUUUGUUCAAGACAUUUUUUGGGGUAUACAGUGAAGAGAAAAUGUAUUGAUUUGUAUAGGUAAAUAGUUUCUCUGUAAUACAACAACACAACUGGUCAACUCUGAUUCACUUCCAUUGGGGUCUUUUGGGCCCAAUGGAAGACUAGAAUUGAUCUCACUCAGUACGUUUACAUGACACUCAAGAAAAUCGAAUUAUUGCCUUACUCUGAUUAAGACUGGACAACUGAAGUGCAUGUAAACACCUUAGUCAGACUAUAAGUGGAGUUUUAGAACUCUGAUUAAGACACCCAGAUAUUGCGUUUGGAAUUCCAUUUUCUCUACCAUGUAACCAGCGAAGUCAGAGUAUGAUUGGACAAUGCAUGUGCGCAAAAAAAAGAAAAGAGGAGUAGCGUGCACCUCACCUACAGAAAAAGUAGCGUGUACAUCAUGUAUGACAAAAACACUGCUGUACGAUGCUCCAUCUUCCUGCUCGAAAAUGCCCAGCAGCACCUGCUGUUGUUGUUGUUGGGUCAACCAGAUACAUAGACCCAUAUCGUCCCCUAGUCUUGGGGAGGAGGGCACGGUCAUGUCAAUUUUUCGAUUUCAUCGAUUUUCUCAGCUGCAUGUAUAUGCAGACAAGGAGAGAAGUCCGAUUCGUGGAAAAAAACAAAUUAUGAGCUUAGUCUGAUUAAGCUGUGCAUGUAAACUCACUGACUGUGAAGUGCAGCACCUUGCUUUACUCAACCUCUAUCUCUUUUUUAUGCACGUACUCUGUUAUGUCCAGUUUAAAAGCUGCAGUAAAAAUCAUUUUCCCUUUCUUUUUCUUCAGACAUGAUAAACCUGAGAAUGACUGACAGAGCAACAGUCACAUGUGGGAUUGGACAUACACUAAUGACUUCUUUUAGUUGUUCCUAUCAACACAAAAACAGACUGAAACACCUCACACGCUCCAAUUCAAAGGGCGACUGCUAUCACUCUUUGAAUUGGAGUCUGGUCUGUCUGGGCUUGAUUAAUUUGCAUUGGCCCUUCAUUUGGUUUAUGCAAACCCCAGUUCACCAAUCAGCAGGCCUGCUACACUUCCCCCAGAAUGCUGAUGUACAGCGUUGGGCACUGUGGAGAACAAAGGUGAGAAAAUCAUAACUGCACAGGUAAUCCUGCUGGUGUCAAACAGGCUCUGCUUUUCAUUUGUAAAGGAAACAAGCAGUCAGAAAAGACGGACAGAUUUUAUGCAGAGACAAGGUGAUAUGUUCUCCUCACAACAAGAUCUACAGGUAGUUCGCCGGGAGUGAAAAGAUGACACCAAAAUGCUGAAUAUGAUACAAAAGGUAAUAUGCAGAGGAGAAAGGUUAAAAAAGAAAAAAAAAAAAGAAAGGAGUGUAGACUUAAUUACAUCUAUUGCUGGGCUCAGAAAGAUCUAAUUCAUGUUUCUAACAUCAGCUACAUUAAUUAGAACCAAUAUCUGAGCUAUUGUGCCCUUCCCCAGUGUCAUUCAGCCUUCAUUACAGCCACUUUGAUACUGAAAUGAAACAGCCUUCAGCCGGAUUGUGGCCAUUAUACCACAGAGGCCUGCUGCUAUUCAGACAAAAUUACAUAGUCAAGUUCCUUUGGGUUUCGCUCGCUCUGUCUGGGUGGGUAAUUUGUUAUUUGGGAUGUAUAAGUGUCUCUGUGUGUGUGUGUGUUUAUUGGUGCAUUUGUGCAUGGGAAUGCGCAUAAAUGAGCUUGCAUGCUGAUGCGCGAUAGCCAAUUUGUUUAUGUUUUUUUGUAGAUUUGAUUAUGUGGUCAGUGCCAGCUAGCCCUGUUUGUCUGUUUGUGAUAGUAUGCGAGCGCGCUUGUUUAAAGGGACACAAUGCGAGGCAUAAAGAGACUUAAAAGACAGCCAUUUAAUGUAGACAGAAAGGACCCUCAGGCUGCAUCACAUUAAAAUACAUUAGUGAUGACAAAGACAAGAGAAACACACACAAGAAAACACACUGUGCAGUAGAGCUUACAAAUCCACCGGCACAUUUCUACUUAUUGACAAUUACAAGGAGAUAAACCCACACUAAUACACUUCUUUCUACACAUUACCACAUGCCUCAUUGAACUCAGUGUUUCAGACAGUUUAAGGCAAGAGCGGCUUACAGUGAUACUUAAGGUUUGUGGGGGAAAAAAGAAACCUUUAGUAGAAUAUCAUAGCAUAAACUGAUGUGUGUUUGUCGCUAAGAAUUGGUUCAAGAAGAGGUAACUUGUACAUUAAUGCACAUGUAAACUCCUUUAAAAGUGUGAAUAAUAAAAUGUGGUGUAAAUAACAUGCACAGUUUGAUGUUCGAGCUUUAAAUAUAAAGUUUCACAUACAAACAGCAUCACAGAUUGUUUAUAAAGCUGCCAAUUUCACCAUUUGCUUAUGUUUUCUCUUAUUUAGAAAAAGAGAGGGGAAAAAAAGAUUAAAAUAAAACAGCAUCUGGCUUCUUUAUGUGACACUGACUAUAAUGGGUCUGUUAAGUGAUUUCAAAUUCUGGAAAGUGAAACAAGACCACAGAUCAACAGCAAUUUAGGUUGAGCUUCUGUUUUGUAGUUUUUUCAUCGUAAUAGAGAGAAAUGUGUGCAGUGCAGUGAGACUAAUAGGUCGUUCUUUUGAAUCGGAGUCAUAACAGUCUGGUUUAGUGCAACUGCUGCAUGUGAAUUAUUUAUGGGUGAUGGGAUUCUGCAAUGUUCGAAAAUGUUGCAGAAGAAAAGUCUCUUUUAUUUGACAGAGGUGUUUGAGGUUAAUUUGAAUCUUUAAUGUGUAAGUAUAAAACUGUACAUUUCUCAUCUGAUGAGACGUAGUAGGUGUGGUGCCAAAGCUCAGUUUAUUGUGGAUACUCUUAAACCCAUGCAUACACCUCUGUUCCCCCUACCGUUAGAUUCUGCUCCAAUCAGUGUCAAUGAUGAUCCACUACUCUUCCCAUUCUCUCUCUCUGCCUCCACAUAAUUAUCUUAAAUAUUUGUGUUUUAUUAUAUUUUGAAUGUAGUGAUCCACUUUACAAAAAGAAAAACAAAUACACUUACUAAAUAAUAAAAUGAUUAAAAUGAAGCUUUUCACUCAGCUGUAACAUCUUUUUCGGACUGAAACAAAAAGCUAAAUCGGAGGCAGAACUUUUGUAAAUGUAGCUAUCUUGUUUCCGCCUCCGAUUUAGCUUUUUUCUGACUUGGUAACUGAAAUGCUGGUAACUCGGGUGUGACGUCAUUCCCAGCUCUGACUUCUGACUUCCAAGGUAACUCGAACGUAGCAUAAAGUACACGCUGUUAUUGUAAUUACGUAGACUCAGCAUGGUAGAUAGAGGUGUCAGAGCAGAGUGCUUGUAUCAGCGUACUAUUAUUGGAGAUUUUAAAUGUAGGCUGGUAUAAUUCGUUUUUUUGCUGAUAUCGGACCGAUAUCAAUACCACACUGAUAUCAAUAUCGUAUCAGGACAUCCCUAGAAUAAAGCGUCCAAGUAUAAAGGCUCAAGGUCCUUUAUUAGUAUCCAAAGGGAAAACUUGCUUUGCAGACAGGUCCAAAAACAACAGCAAAAGGGCAAAACAGCGACAAUGAUUCACAACUCAGGACACGGUUCACAAAAUCACAUUAAAAGCUGACAAUAAAAUGACAAAACAAACAUUGAAGAUUAAAACCAAUUCAUGAUAAAGUGCUCUAAAUCACAACCAUUCUGAAAUAAAACUCCAAAAUUGCUAAAGUGACUUUGAGUCUACUUAAAGUAAUACAUUAGACGAUAAAGUGCAUCGUCUUGUGUUUGUGUAGCCGCAGGUACAAAUGUAUUUCUGUAGCGUUUUGUUCUCAUUUUAGGAGCAACAAAGUGAUACCAAGAGUGAAGCAGUUGGAACUCUGAGUUUAAAGGUUGAGAACAGUCAUGGAAAACAUUUUUUAUGUUGUUGCUCACUUAUGAGCUUGCCAAUUUGGUUAAGAGCAAUCUUGUUUUUAAAAGACAAAUUACCAAACCAAGAGACAAGGGAAAGGACAAGACAGAUUCAAUUAAAACUCAAUAGAGUAAAAUCAUCAUAGUUAGCAAAUGGCAAAUUUCCUCGUACUAGUACCAAUGCUACUCAGCAAACACAGUAUGAGUACACAGACAGUGCACAGAUCUUCUGAUUCUGCUGUAAGAUUAGUUGGAUAAAUCUGUUCAAAACAGGAAUAUCUUCAGCGUUUCUGCAUUUUGUCUCAGGCUGUGCUGAUCUCUCACUGGAUCAGAUCUGCUGACCUCCUUCUGCAAAAUACCUGCUAACGUGUGCACUAGAGCAACCCCCUUUAUUUCUGAAAGUGUUCCAAGUUAAAAAAAAAAAUUAUAAUAAAAUAAAAACGUACAUUUGGGAAAUACCUUAUUUGUGUGCCUACCAAAAAUAUGAACAUAAUUCAAUGUCUAUUGCCUUUGACCACAAACCAUAAAGACGUACGCUGCAGUAAAAUAGAAUUACUUAGCUACCUGACACACAAAUACAGGGACACACUCAUCCAAUCCACUUGUCCAACCUUUUCUCCUGUCAGCAUGUCACACCACUCACUAACCAAUAUUCAUGCUCUCAGCUGAAAAGAGCGCCUUGGUUCAAAUUUACAGCCCCAUGAGUCUUAAGCUUGUAUGUUUAUUGCCUGAAAUGGCAGGAUGAAAUCAAAUUCAUUACAAGGCCCUACAUCAUUCUGAGCUGCCUGCCAAGGGCUUUAUGUUCAUGCUGCGGUUAGCUCAGCUUCCCACCGUGGAAAUACCGAACAGGAGUCAAAUGCUGUGUGUGUGUGUGUGUGUGGCAGUAUGCGUGUGUGUCUUUGCUUAGCAUGUUAAUUUUGAGGCCUCCGUGUAAUACAAGUGUCAGGCGAGGGCUGUUAGCAGCACUUGGUAUAUAUUUUCAGCCUGGGACUUGGAGAAAUUUAGUCUCUCUCUCUGAGGUACCCGAGCUCAUUAAAACAUAUUGCUUUUCUUGUCUGUUUCCGAUUUUGGAUCUAGACCUGGAGCUGCAGCAGCGGCAGCGGCAGCAGCAGCCAGGCCCUGCUCACAUACUAGCUGAAUGUGAAGCACAUUAUGAGUUAUGAGAUGCAGUACAGUUUGGGAUUAAAUUUGCUGUGUUAUCUUUUUUAACACGAAGCAGGCUUGGUCUCGCCUGUGAUGAGGAGCUCUCGCUACAAGAUGGCCAGAGAGAAAAAUCUGUGUAUACGGCGCUCUCACUUUCUCUUCUUCCAUGCCUCCCCGGUCUGAGUCCAUAUCACCCUUCAUUCAAUACGUUCACCUCCCUCUCUUAAACCUUUCCUCCUCUUCCCUUCUACUUUAUGUGUUAUAUCUCCCUCCCUGCUGCUGCGGUAUUCUAGAUUUUCACUCUGAACUGUGUAGAAUGGGAUUACUGCUCAACACUUAACUGAAAAACUCCUGCUUCUACCCUGCUCCAUCUCUCCGAGCUGCUGUUACAAUCCUCCACACCUUUCCAUCUUACUACUCUCUCACGAUAUACCUUUCUUAUGCUUUUUGCUCUUUCCUUUUUCUGUCAGCUCCCCCCCCUCAACACACACACACACAUACUGCAAUAAGAGUGACAAGAUAAGAGAUUGCAUUUCUCCGCUCAGCAGUCCAAGCUUGAAGAGGGUGUCAUGUUAAAGGAGGGGAGUACCUGACAUGGCACAUCAAACCUUUGUAACAUUUCAAUGGGCUUCCUAUUUCUCUCCAGCACAUCUUGUCAGACAUCAACCCAUUAUUGACAGAUUGUGGAUUAGAAAAGGGGGGUGGAAGGGGGGAAGAGCUUUCAACAGAUUGCUGCUAUCUGUGUCUGCUGGUAUCUACAGUACAGAGAGAGCUGUGGGACAAAUGCUUGAGGAAGCAACAGGAUUUUCUCUGCUUGGAUUACCGUGUAUAAGCAACGUCAGGUUGUUGUACAUUGCAGAAUUGGCAAAAGGUACGUGUAGAGAGGCGGGGCUUAAAGGGUUGUGUAAGAACACCUGCAACAAGAGAAAAGAAACUUUCAGCUGCAUUGAAAAGUUUAUUGUUUAACUUGAAGGUUAUGAGAAGAAACCCCCCCUUUAUAGAAAUGUUGUUCUGAGUAGCUUUCUUACUUUCCUACGUCUCUGUGUUAGUGCAUACACUUCUCUCUUUCACACGACUGUCUGCAAAUCUUAGUUGAAGCUCAUUUCUCAAUUUUGCUCCUUUCCUUACCCCUCUUUUUGAGCGCCACUUUGACCCUUAAAAAAGGAAAGGAAGGAAGGAGAGACAAACCUUCAAGACCAUACACCAUCAGAAGUCAUCAGUGGCUGUAGUGGCAGAUUUUUCUCUAACAGUUUUCAAAAGCCACUUUGAUGAGACGAGCCCCACAGAUGUCCUGACACGUGUCCAUCUUCAUUCAUGAAAUGACUCCAAUACUCACAGGUCUGUAGUUUUGCGUUUAUUUGGCUGAUUGUGGGUUCCAUAGAGCUCACAACUCAAAAACUGUAGAAAAGAACAAAAAGCUCCUGUUUCACAGUCAAAAAACAUGCUGCUCAUCUCAACCUGAAACGAACAAAAGAUUGAGACUCCACCCAUAACCAAACAUUGUCUAGACAUGUGUAUCUGAAUCUAUUAAUCAACCCAAACAACCCAUCUAAUUACUUUUAAAUCAUAUUUUUUUGGUCUUUACAAUUAAUAAUAUUAACUGAGACUUUUGUUUGCUUAAAAAAAGAUUUUGACAUAAACUAAAAACAGCUUCUACAAGGGCAAAAUGUUAUUAGAUGCAACAACCUUGUUGCCAUGUAAUUUUAAAAUGCUAUCUUGAACCUUUGCUGUUCCUGUUGUGUGGCUCAAUGGCACCUUUUUGCCGUUAUCAGCAGAAAAUGUACAGGUAAAGGAUGUCUUUUGGGCUUUGGUGUGCUGGUGUAUCAGCUCGUGUCUUAUAAGAUAAACUAUAAAUAAGUUUUGUUGUACUUAACAUUAUUUAACAACAUGCUCAAAAGCCAGCAGACAUAUGUGAGUGGACUAAUGUGGAUUUAACCCAGUGAUGUAUGUUUAUUAAGUUUCUCAUCAUGGAAUCUCUAAGAGUGUAAUCAACUUGUAAGUAUGAAAUAUUGUCGUACUUUCAUUUCUCAAGUAAGAUGUACUGUUUAAUAACUUUGAGUAGCACAUUAGCAAUGAAAGGCUGAGUGGACGGGUUUGAGUAUUAAUUGGAGAAUAAUUAGCAGAGGAAUCAAACUUUGAACAGGUUGUGGAGGACUCUGUUGAGAACAAUUCUCUGGGCACGUGUAACUCUUCCAACCGAGACAACAGUCAACAAUCACAGCAGGCCACCACCCUGUGUUUGCUCAGAUGUUGUUUGUGAAAAUUUAUUGCUGAACUGUGUUGGUCUUAGGCUGCAGCUGCAGCUGCUGAGGAGUUUACUUUGUGUACACAACUUUGUGUUGUCUGCUUUGGUGUUGUUUUAUUUGGCUGUUGAUUACAUAAUAAGUGCGUAGCUUUUUAAUUUAUGAAGUUUAAUAAUACCUGUUACAACCUAUGUGGCGUCCAAAGACUCUUUUGUUAGUUGUUGGCCAUUUUUGUUUAAUUAUCUGAGAUGAAUCUCUUCUCUGGCGAGGACUAGAGAGGAUUCAUUUUGGAAUCUGGUUUUGUUUUUAUGAUUUAUCAUCAGUUGCAUAACCCUCUGCGCACCUGCAAUGCACCCCGGCCAACUCUCUCUGUGCUGCACAACCUUUCCACUGAGCGAAAUACAGGCAGUAAUACUGUUUCCCCGCAAAACUUAUUUGGCAAAUAAUUAAGUAGUAAAUAAAUAUAUAAUUUUUUUGUGGAGUUGCAUUUUCACAGUGGGCUUCCUUUAAUUAUGCAUCUUGUUUGUCCUGUAUCACAGUGUGCAACUUAAAGUAAAUCUUUUUUUUCCCCUGAUGCUUUCUGAUUAAAACAAGAUCUCAUAUAUUUUAUCAUACAGAUUUGAAAACAGAGACAAGUCUGAAACAACAAAAAAAUCACUAUCAAGACAUAUAUUUGUUUACUAGAGAGACGCGUCUCGGCCACAAGAAACCCACGCUCUUCUUCAACAGUUUGGGAUAUGCUGCACUAAGUUUUAAGUUUAUCACACAACAGAUUUAGACAAUUCUACAAAAUUCUGAUAAUAUGCGACACUACUUUGACUUGCAAGGUUUUGGUUUCAUUCACCCACUUCUUUUUUCUCCAGGAGUAAGUGUUAUUCAAACGUGCUGAGACAGCCUGUGUGUAUUAUCAUCAUAUUUGCCUCCUCUGCAAUUUAAAGCCUGAACUCUGCUGUGAGUUGACACUCCCAUUUCUCCCUUGCAGUAUCAUACUCUUGUAAGAUUUUGACACCUGACAUUAUGAAAUACUUAUGUUGUGUGCCUACAUGAUAUCUGUUCUUGUUCUCCCUCGCAUCAGAAUCAGUUUCCUUUACUUGAGUCAUUUCUUUUUAUUUGCCAAUUCUCUUCAUUUACAAGUUUCUUCCACUACUUCUUAAAUCAGUCUUAAUGUUUUUUUCUUCAGUGCCUUCCAGAUUUUAUAUCUCCUCCUUUUCUACUUUCUAUCCAUCUCCCAUCUCUACUUUCCCUCCCUCCUCUUCUUACCCCAGUCUAGCACUUUACCAAGCGUCCAGUCUGUCAUCUGCACUGUGACUGAUGCUGAGCUAGAGCCAUCCCUCUCCACAGUGUCACCACUCUGCCUUCAAAAUUCGAUCAUUUAGUGAAACUGCAGUCAUGCACCAUCUCUCAUCUCCGCCAUUCUGGCUCUGACAGAGAGGCACCAUUGGCAUGGCCCUGCCGACACCCUGCAUAGAUAUUAACCAGUUUGGACACUUGAAGCAUUUUGGCUCUGAUGUGUUUUGAUAGGUUUCACUGGUCUCUUGGGAAAGGUUGCAGUCACAAGCCUAUUCCAGGGAGAGGUGGGGGGAGAGGUGCCUGCUAAGUCAAACAAGCUGAACUGAACGAGGCUCUGGCACCUCUGACUGGAUUUUUUUUUUUUCAAUGGCAUAAUAUUUACAAUUUACAAUAGAUUUACAUAAGACAGGACAGGCUGCAUGAUGAUGAUUCUUCCGCAUGAGCAUUGGCACCAUAUCACUAGAGUACAUUAAAGACACCCCCCCCCCCAUGAAAACGAUGUUUAUAUGGCAAACUCCACCCCUGGAGUCUCGCUAUGCAGACCAGUCUCUGAGAAAUAGAGGACGAUCGCGGAACAAGUGUUGGCGAAUUGCAGUGUUUGAAAGUGUCGCUACCUGAUCCUUCCUGGAAACCCGAUUUGUACUGCACAUGUGUGAAAUGUAUGUCACUUCCUCUACUAGUCAUCUUUGCGAUAGCGCAGCAUUUCUUUACCCCUCGCAUUUUGCGACAGCUUCAGCUUCAGCAUCAGCGAGCUCACUACAGUUAGAAAGGAUGCUUUAGUUUAUCAAUGCUUCAGUGUAUGAACAGCCACAUGCUUUUCUUUUCUCCUGAACGGAGUGCUUCCCCCGACUGAAGCAGAGUGCCAGCAAGUCAAGAGAAUGGCGCCCAGUUUUAAGAUUAAAGGUUCCUACUAGUGAUGCACGAUAUGAAAAAUUUCAACCGAUACCGAUAACCGAUAAUUUUCUUCUUCUCAUGGCCGAUACAGAUACCGAUAACCGAUAAAUUCAUAUUUUUACAUUUACUAUAAUCUUCAUAUAAUCUGCAGUUUGUGCAGGAUGCAGCGAUUGAAAACUGAUGUUUUUUUUGCUCUGGCCUAUCUAGAACAACAAACAAAAGUUUUUGGCUCUUCAAAUGUGGUCAUUUGCUAUAAAUAACAAUAACAGAGCAAAAAGCAGAACUUCAUUUGAUCCCCUGAACUGUUGAACAGAACUGUAAACUGUAAAGGAGCUAUUAUGAGACGUUAGGCUUAGCAUGCUGACCGGACUAACAUCUGACAUCCAUAUGUCUGUGGUAAAACUCACGUGUAGUCCGUUCUUGUCGAUCAGGUUGUGAAUGUAUGUGGCGACAAUAUCAUAGAGUGCAGGAAGAGACACAUCCGAGAAGAAGCGGCGGCUUGGGAGAGUGUAACGUGGCUCCAAGUGUGCUAUGAACUUGCGAAAACCCGGGUUCUCAACGACGGAAAAAGGCUGGUUGUCGACCGCUAUGAACUCCAUCACUUUGUUGUUAAUGGCUUUAGCCUUUUUGCUGUCUCUUGAGAAGCUUUUGCAGUUUUCAAACGCCUGCUGAAUGGGGACAUCGAUCCUCCGUAGUGUUGUUGUCUUAGCUUUAGUACCGCUAGCAGCUUCGGCAGCUGUCUCAUAUUCUUUUACUACCGCUUCGCCGCGAUGGCGACUUUUCAGAUGAGCUAUCAGAUUCGCUGUGUUAAUACUUGACGUCUUCUUUCCUCCUCUCGGAAUCCUCGCUGAACAGGUUUUGCAUAUAGCAAUGCUGUUGUCAUCUUCUGCCACUGAGAGAAACGACCAUGCUGGUGAAGACAUUUUAUUAUCUGUCAGGUAGUGACGGGGUCAGGCUUGGGACCUGCGAGUAAGGCGCGAUAGAUGACGUAACCAGCGCGUCUCGGACGGGCGGCUACUCCGCCUGCAAACGUUACUCGUAAUUUCAUUAAUAUAUCGGAUCUUUUUAUCGGAAAAAUGCACCUAUCGGACCGAUAAAAAAUGACGUAAUUUCCCCCCAAAUCGGCCGAUAUUAUAUCGGUCCGAUAAAUAUCGUGCAUCCCUAGUUCCUACUCCAGCUAAAUUGUAAAAUUGCAAUUAUAUAUUUCAGUGUUGAAAAUUGUACGCUGUAUAAAAACGCUAAAAUUCAUUGUUCAUAAUGUGUAGGCUGUUAAUAAAUGUAAUUAAUAAAAAAAAUGAUAUAAAUCCCCCCUUGAUACUUUGAAAAGUCAGAGAACCAUCAUUUUGGCCGGGUGGCGCUGAUCUCUGUGAUCCAAAAGGUCUAAUUCUGCUGGGCAGGAGCUCUGGCGAAUGCCUCGGCAUUAGCUCUGGAGCCUCCUGCUAGCGAGCCCGUCACAUUGCCAGCUUGUUCCUGAAUCGAUCGGUAAUUUAAAUAAAGUUUUUAAGGUGAAGUAAAUUUGCACCUGCGCAGUACGGAUCGGAUAGGUAGCGACUCACUGCCGUAAAAUACAUUGAAAUGCCAAGGGAGGAAGUGACGUAUGUUUUGCACACGCGCAACACAAAUUGGGUUUUGGAUCGGGCAGCGACAGUAAGAAAGCUAAUUGUGAUAUUAGCUUACAUCAUGCCCCUAAAAACAUUAGUGUCUGAGAGCUCAAUAGCUCCUGUUUUACCUGCUACUUCUACUACACCAGCAAUGUUGGGCUGCAAGCUAACGUAAAGAGGAGUGUGCAGAGCAGCGCUGUCUCCGCCCACAACUCAGAGGCGAUUUGCUAAUGAUCUACUGGAUUGCUGCAGAUGAAAAGACCUUAAGAAUGACACAGAUAACGUGAUUUUGGCUAAAAACUUCAUCAUCACUAUUUAAAAACCACUGAUAACACUUUAAGUGGUAAAAAAAAAAGAAAAAGAUCGGAGUGGGACUUUCAUUUCAUAUGAAUGACUUGCCUUAUAAGCAUGCAAAGAAAGUGUCAAAAAGCCUGUGAAACAUAACAUUUAUUGAAGUUGUUGUGAAGUUGAUCGACUGUUUUUCAAAAUGAUCAUUCAUGUUAUUUUUCAGUUUAUUUUUUAUCUAUUCCAUCAAGUAAGCAUGGAAUCACUUUGUGCCAUGUGCUUUCCAGUGAUUUUUGCUGAGCUGACUUGCCCGUUACCUUUCUCUUCUAGUUAUGUCUACUUUUAUUUUCCUUCACACACAGUGGUUUUCAGAAUUUUUUUUUUCAAUCCAUCUGUCCACCAGCAUUUUCUUUACACAACUUUUACCCUCGGCUUCAUUUUUCCGUCUGAGGCAAAAUGCCAGGCUUGCACUAGCACUUUCAGAGCAAAGUUUUUAUUUUAAUGCCAGGAUACAUUAGCUCUCACAUCUCUGGGCUCUGUGAUAGGAUCUGGCUCACUGAGAGAUCCACUGAGAUAUCUCACUCCAGACAUCUUGCAUCUGAAUCUUUGUCUGCCUGGAGUCUCUUGUCUCUCUCCUCUCUCUUUCUUUCUUUUCUCUGAAUGGUUUCCUUGACUUUUCCCUCUGAGCAGCGAGUGAAGGUCAAGAGACCUUUCACAUCAUGAUAACACUAUUCAAAAAGCUCAGGAAUGAUCUGAGUCAUGUCUCUGUCACUGUUUGGAAGAUAUUCUCUUUAUUUACCUUAUUGUAUUUGUGGGAUAUCUUUGUCAUCUGAUGCACAGUAUGAGACUGGAAUGGGUUUUAUGCCAUUAAGAACAAACAUCACAAAGCUCCUGGAGGCCACUUUCCAGCAAGCUCCAUCCUUUAUCAACCGGCACAUCAGAAAAAGCACACGCUAAGGUGAUUUGUAUGGAUCAAAACAAAUUGUGAUAUGCUCUUAGAAAAAUCUGCUUUGUGUUUUUGUGUGGUGAUGUGGUUAUCCAGCUCUACAUGCAGGCUCAUUGUCUGAAUUGUAUCUCCAUUAUAACAUUCACAGGGGACAGUUUGGUUACACUUUGGGCAGUAUGUCCCUCACUGUCUUUCACUUUCAUCGACAGCUUUCAUUCCUUCUCCUUCCCCACUAAGGUCAAACAUACACAAUGCAUAUUGAAGCCAAGUCUGAAACACACAAGUGGUGAUUUUACAGCUGAUUCUGAAGACUGGCCUAAUUUCAGAUCUGUUGCUCAUUGUUGACCUUACAGUGUUGGAAAAAAGUUUGGCAUAUUUUCUUCAGUGUUUCGUGUAACGUGAAUGAUCCUCCAACAAACAUGGCUGAACUGACUCAGGCUGUGACCCAAUGCUGGCGAGAAAUCCCGGUUGAAACUCUUACCAACCUAGUGACCAGCAUGCCCAGACGUGUACGCACAUUGUACCAUGCUAGAGGCGGUCACACAAAGUACUGACUGUAUUGUUGUUAUCGUCUUGUUAUGUUUGAUGUUGCUUUCAAAGAUGGUCCACGUAUUUUGUGGCAAUUUAAAAUUACAGCCGUUUAUUUAUUAAAUACCGACUCAUGAUUUUAUGCGUUAUUUCUAUGGCUUUUUGUGAAUCAUGAGGUGACCGCCCUACAAUUUUUUGAGAAACAAAAUAGUUUGAUGUGAAUUUCAAAAACAUAUCACAGAGACCAGGGAACAUUAAAAAGUCUUUGAAUAAUUCUCCAGAAAGCAGCAGACCGCGUUAAACAUGAGGCUGGGGUUGAAUUGACAAAUAUUCCAAACUUUUUUCCAACACUGUAUGAGGGACAUGGGGGCCAAUAACAGUCUGAUCAGCUCCUCCCAACCAGUAAGGUGAAUUUCUGGCGUGUCCUUCUGUGGGAGUUUUUCGUGGGAGAACAAAACGUUGCCAACAAUUGUCAGAUGACUCAAGUCAACCUUGGCAAUUGGACUGCACAGCGUGAGCACUUAAGUCCCAAGCUUUGAUUGAGUCUUGCAAGAGGUUAAUGUACAGUGUGAGUUUACAUUUUACCUUAUCAUUUAUAAAAUUAUAAGAUGUAUGCCAAGUCUUAGAUCAUUUUUAAAGGGGAAUAUGAAACACAUGAAAGAUGGCUCAGUGACUAAAACCUAACUUAAGGGCAGAUAUGUUUUAACAGUUACACUAACAAGGAAGAAAUGAGAUCUGAGCUUUGGAACAACACGUAGCAUGACAGAGACAGAGGAGCUUGUAGUCGCAAUGCAUUGGAAAAAUUAUUAUUUUGCAUUGGAAAAAUUAUUAUUUUCAACAGACCCAGUGUUACUUCUAUGAUGUAGUGUCAAUUAUGGUGUCAGUGUAAUAAUACACAAUUUUUCUGAACCUAGGUAUGAACUGCAAACAACAAUGCUCUAGGCUACAACCUAACAUGUUUGGAUCACUACCUCAUUUGUGGGUGUAUGUUAUAAAAGUCAAGGUGUUAGAGCUUCACCCUUUAUUUUAUCCUAUUCACAGACAGCUGUCAUUAUCAUAUUCAGAUCUUUAACUGCAUCUUCCUCAAAUCUCUUCUUUUUUUUACCCACUCAUGCAGGCCAUAUUGCUGUACAUUGUAACCCACUGAAAUGAGUCCAUAAUAUCAAAAUGAUUAGUAGCUGUAGACCUGAUUUCAGAUAUAAAAUUUUAUAACCACUCAACUCUGAGUGAAAUUAAGUGAAAUAAUAUUUUAUCUUCCUGAAAAUACCCAGGCCAGCUUUUGUCUUUCUGAAGUGUAAGUGCAGGACUGGGAUGUUGGAAAUCACUGCUGAGCCUUCUGGAGGUGUCAUGGGUUUAAUUCAAUGAAACAUCUGUGAAGGGAGGUGCCAACUUGAUAACCCCAGCAUGCAAAAGCUCGAGUGUUCGACUCACACACUCAACACUGUACCAUUCAGAUAAGGUGUCUGCUGAAUAGUGCUUCCUUUCUGGUGGUCCUGAGAAUAUAGUAUUGUGUUGAGUCUGGGCCUCGUUACUAGAUUUUAGAAUCAGGUCUACAGUCUGUCGACUAACAUAAAAAAAAAAAUCAUGUGACACUAUUAGAACUUUUUGUUCAUGGGCAUAUUUGAAGGGCAAAGAGAGAAUACAUUUUUGUUAAUAAGCAGGUUUUUUUAAUUUUUUAUCUUUACCAAAAAAAAAAAAAAAAUUUUCUAAUGCAUUUUUUAAAAUUUUAUGGGGGUAUAGGGUAUGAAAAGGAUGAUGGAUCAAAAAGGAACGUUGAAACAGAGAUUGGGGAAGUAGCUGAGGGCCAUGGGAUGAGAUUGAACCCAAGCAGCCUCCUUUAAGGACCAUAUCCUUAACGUAGGAUUUGGGUCCAUACCAUCCUAUACCAGUGCAACCAUCAAACUGGAUGGAUGGAUGGAUGAAUGGAUAAGGAGAUGGAUGGAUGGAUGGAUGGAUGGAUGGAUGGGUAAGGAGAUGGAUGGAUGGAUGGAUGGAUGGAUAUGUGGGUGAGUAGAUGAAUGGAUGGAUGGAUGGGUGAGUAGAUGGAUUGAUGAAUGGAUGGAUAGUUGGAUGGAUAGUUGGAUGGAUGGGUAAGUGGAUGGAUGGAUGGAUUGGUGAGUAGAUGAAGGUGUCUGCUGAAUAGUGCUUCCUUUCUGGUGGUCCUGAGAAUAUAGUAUUGUGUUGAGUCUGGGCCUCGUUACUAGAUUUUAGAAUCAGGUCUACAGUCUAUCAAAGCCCAAGAAAGAAACUUAUUUGACAGAAGAAAAAAAAAACAUUUAUUUCUAGCAAAACAGGUUGAUAUACUUUUGGGAUUUCAGAUUAUUGCAAAUGUGUAUUAAGUGAUACACUAAGAAUUACCAGAUCUCAUGUCUCAAGCAGUACAGGGUAUUUCCUGUAAUGGUACCAUUAUUUCAUAAACCUAGAAGUCAUCCAAUAUUCAUUUAUUAGGUUAUCAGCUGUAGAAACUGCCCAAAAAUUCACAUUUUAAAUUUUUUUUCUUAUCUAUCCUAUACCAGUGCAACAAUCAAACUGGAUGGAUGGAUGCAUGGAUGCAUGGAUGGAUGGGUGGGGAAGGAUGGAUGGAUGGAUGGAUGGAUGGAUGGAUGGAUGUGAAGUGUAAAUCAGGCUGAACACUGGGAGUGUGGGUACAACAGCACCAACAACGGUGCAUCUUUAUGAACCAAGGGAUAUGUACCAUUUUGCUUAACAGUGCAGACCAAUGACAAGGUAUAAAAAGUCAACAUUUUAUGCCAUUUUUCCCCCAAGAAGUAUGCUUUCAUAAGCACAAUUUUCUUCUCAUUUCUGCAUUUUGCUCCACAACUCAUCUGUUGCAGACAGAUAAGACCAACUUAGUGCAUAUAGAGCACAUAUUCAUGAAGAAAUUACCUUAAAAAUCAGUUUGAAUAAACAUAAAUUCAGACUCACCUCCCCCUCCCUGCUCUCCUCUCCUCUCUUCUUCACUUAUUUUUUCCCUAUUUCCUGCAAAGGCUUCUUUUCUUUAUUAUUUUUACUCCUCUUCAUGUCCUACCCCACUCUGUGGUGGCAAAAUGACUCACUGAGGGAAUGCCUACAAGCACAAAGAGAAUCACAGACAGAUUAGAAGCAAGACUGUGGCAUGAACCAGGUGUCAAGGGUGACUUGUGAUGGCCAGGUUCAAAAAUAGCCUAAAACCCAGUGCAUGCAGUGUAUGGGGUGAUGGCACACCCACUCACACACACACUCAUGUCUUGUGGAAAGAUAGGAAGCCUUUGAUAGCGAACACAGGAGUGCCUCAGCAUCCAGCUGGCUGUAACAGAUGGCUUUACACAUGACGUCUUGCUGUGUGUGCGUUGCAGUUUUCCUCUCUGCUGGUCUUUUUUCACUCCUCGCAUUAAUGUGUGUUCGCUGCGGGCCUGUCACAUUCAACAUGACUCAUGCUGAGAUAUGGAGGGGAGGGGCCAAUAAAAGUGACAUGGCCUGAGUUUAAUCAGAUCUGUGACUGGGUUCAAAAGUGUAGGGGUUAAAGGCCAAAAGAUGACGCCUAAGGGGUCAGAGGGUGACAGGUUGUGUUGUGUUAUUACAUCCUAUCACAGCGAACAUGUGUGCAGCAAUUAGAAAGCGGCAAUAAAUUCAAUGUUUUCCAGAGAGACUGAAACCAUUAGAGGGAGUAUUUGGUGUUGAGCACAGUGUUAAGAACAUCAAUCUUAUUUCUGGUAAGUUUUUACUCAUGACAUUGUUCAUUUGCAUGUGUGUCACUCUGUUUGUGUGUGUAUGUGUGUGUGUGUAAAGCCGAACGUGUUACUAAAUAGACAAAUCAGGGGAGACUCAGGUCUCUCUGUUGUCGUAAAUCAGACUGAAAGUGCUUAGUCAUUCACAAACACACACACACACACAUACACACACAGUCAUCAGCUGCUCAGUGAAUCAGAUGGCAACAAGCUGUUCGUGGACCCACAUCCACAAUGAUUGGCUGUAACAUUGCUACUUGAAACCAUAUUGCGCACGUGUAGGUGCUCGUGAAUGCUUGUGUGUGAUCAGACAUGUGUAAGAGGUGUUCGGUGUCAGGAAAAAUGUAGCAGGAAAGUAAAACAAAAAUGUAAUAAGAAGCACAACAUCUGUUGUACACAUCUUGUGUCAUCACUCAUCCAUCUUUGUCAGUCUCUUCCUCACUUCACUUGGGCAGAAUCACGCACGGAGAAAUUAGACCAGCAACAAAAGCGCUCUUUUCAAGGUCCCCGUAAUAUCACGGUUUUCACUUUUUGAAUAUAAAUUCAAAUUGAAGGUUGAACAAACUUUUAAAUGACGCAUACAUUGGUCCUUAAAAAGCUUUUUAUGGAAGUGCAAAUUUGUAAGCACACACAUAUGUACACACACAUGCAUGCAUUGUGCACAUAUAUAAACAUACUGUAUAUUCAGAUACAAACAAAACACAAAUAUGAAAGUUUGAGCUCUGCUUUAUAUGGAUCUAAAAUUCUAAAUGAACUCAAUAAUGAAGCUUGAUAGAAAAUAUGUAAAUUCAGAGGAUGAUGUAAGAUACAAAGGGGCUAUGAUGGCACAAAUACAUAGAAAAUUGUACUUCUAAAAUGGCUUAAAGGUGGGGUAGGUAGGAAUCUGGUGAGGAAGCAACUUUUUUGUGGUGUAUCAACAAAAAGCCUUUAAUAUCAGUCAAUAGCUAUAAGUUAUUGAUAACAUUUGGUAAUAUAACGAUAUCGCUGUGUCUUGUUAUGUCAACAUUUUAAAUUUUUUGUUUGGCCCGCUCUUUCUGACUGUAAACAAAGUCAUUCUCCGCCUCCACAACCUCAUUGGUUGUGAGGCAGACGCUGCUCCCCUGUGUUGUGAGGCACACUCAUGUCCUUGAAUAACGUGCAAACGUCCCAAACAAAGUUAGCGUGCCACAACAUCGGACAGAAGAAACCAACCUUAAAGUACAGAAAACACAAGCAAUAAAAAAGUAAAUACCAGAGACUCUGGCGGAUUAACAGCUCUUGUCCGGUCUACAUCCUUUUUAAGCGCCUAAGAAGCCGGGUCAACAUCAGCAUAAACGAUGGGGGACACUUCAGGAUCUUACAGACCCUGUAACCUUUCUGCUGGACAGGUAAACCGCUUUUACAAAGUGAGCCAAGUGUCUGUAACAGAAGUGUUUCUUGUCAAACAGGACCUGCUGUGUGUUGUAGCGCCGUGAAACUGUUUACCUCGGGCCCUGGAGUAUGUCACUUUCACAACUUUGUGUUUGCUGGUAGUCUGUUGGCAUCUACAGUAGCACCAAUGCUUUUUACUUUCACGUUGACUGGGCCCCAUUUGUAAUUAUCUGAAGUAUUUAUCUGCAUUAUAUCUGAAUUUAAUUGAAAAGAUAAGAGCGUGUCAGACGAUGAGAAAACAACCCAGUAUAUGACUUUCUGUGAUGUAGCUUUAAAUGGAAAUCGAAGAUCAAAAUACAUGCGUGGAAAUCUUGUGUUUCAAGUUUCAUUCCCUUUUUUGUUGUAACCCUGAAGUUGUGACUUGGAACAAAACUUUGGCUCUUGUUAGCAUAGAUAUGUAUCUAUAGAAGACAAGAUACACCAGCUAUCUAUCUAUCUUCAGCUUGUCGACUGAUUUUUGUUUUUUCAUUCGAAAACAAAAAUCCAUUGGCUGCCAACUACACAGACUCAGAAUUGGACUACCCACAAAAUCAUUAAGAAGUCGAUGGCCGUGUUUGCUGAUGUGGUGCUGUCCAUGGUGAACAUGAUUUCUGGCUCAGAUUUAAUACUGCACACCGUUAGACACACAAAGGUAGAUACUGGGAGUUACAUGAAAGUCUGAGAUUUGCAGAUGAAGAAAAUUCUCAUUGAAUAUUUAUGACAAUUCAGCAACACAGAGCUCUUUUCUCUACCUUUGGGGUUACCAAAGUGAAGAGAAGCACAGCUAUAAAGUUCAACCAGAGUUCAAACAGGUUCGACUUCUUGCUCCAAGCAAAAAUCCAUGUCAGAAAGAGUCAGAGGUUUCUUCAGGGGGGUUCAGACAAGAGUGAUGCUGUAAAAAUCCCAGUUCUAUUUAGUUACAGUCUUUUCAGCUCUUUCCUCUGAGGUACUGUGUCCUAAUAGAGUCAGUGGAAGACUGUGGCAGCUGCUGCUUCCCUGAAGUGUGUACGUGUGCGUGGUUUUUCAAGCAGGAGGGUUUCUGUUCAUGCACACAUUUGUGUGUGAAUACUUGUGAGUGUGCGUAUGCUUCCCCCUCCACAAGCCUGCAUGCUAUCACUUCUGUGAAAAUGAGACCCCACUUCCCAUCAAUCCCUUCCCAGUUAAAUAAGAGGGUAGGCAACUAGUUAUCAGCUGCUCGCAUGGCUGAAUGUCACAAACAGUGCCAGCAAGCUGUCAUUCAACUCUGCUGCUUUGAAUUGUGCCACUGAGGCCUCUACGACUCGCAGCUUACCCAUCAUUUGUUGCAGUGAAAAAAAAAAAGAUGAUAGAGGGAGACGUUCAAGAGGAACAGUGCGGUCGUGAACCUGGCGUGGGAGGAAACGCAGAGAGGGAGGGGUGAGACUACAAACGGGAAAGUAAGGUGUGUGUUGUGCAAAAGCAUGAAUGUGAGCAAAUGAGAGCAUCCAGUACACCAACAAUAGGCUGAAAAAUGAAUAUGAAAAUGAAACCGAUCUGAGGCAAAGUAAAGUAGAAAAACCUUCAAGAGUUCAUUAUUUGUUUGAAAUGGUGAGUAAGGAUGAAAAGAAGGAACAAUGAGAGGAGUAUCUGUUGGAUGAAAGGACACUUUGACUUCUUCUGUCUUGGGGCUAUGUGUCAAUCAAACCUAUGUGUGAUUCAUCCUGCUCGCUCUCCUUUCUUGGGUAUUUGAUCUUCCGUCUGAGGAGUGUGUCUCAUUUAGAUGAAGGUUGGAUCCGUUAACUGUUAACUGAUACUCCUUAGUGUUGUUGCUCUUUGUGUGUGUGGGUAAAUGUACUGAUGGAGAGUGAACUUUCCUUAAUUUUAAAGUGUCUAAAUAGCAGAAAAUGUAAGGAAUGGAGUGCGGGGAAGAAGUUUGGAGGAUAACAAAGAAAAUAAGCAAAAACUCUGAUUUAGCACAUACCUUGUGGAUAAAAGUGGUAACGGAGUAAGGGGAAUGUGUUGGAGUGAGAGUAUGUUUAUAUAUGUGCUGCUAAAAGUUGUAUUCCAGCAAAAAAUUCAGUUAGGGUCAAACACACUGUAACACCGAGUUAGACUCUCCCUCGAGAGAUGAAUGUUGCCGACUGCUUGCUUCUCUAUUUAUACCAACUUUAGUAACGACCACAGGAUAGCAAUACAUUGCAAUCUGCAUCUCCACACGCAAACCUCCACCAAAACGCCACUCUUUAGUGACAAAUAAUGCUCAGAACAGCACCAAACUUCAUCAACAGUACAUAUAGGGGCCUAGCCAUAGCACUAGCCAUCAAACUUCUUUUUAGCUUUGCCUGAUUUCUUUCGCAAGGAGACUAAAAACAACUCACCUACUCUCCUCCAGUAGCCACUUGUUUGUGGGGGAGCCCUGAUGAGUUGAUCACAGAGUGCAGCUCAAGAAGGAACAUUUAUGAUCAUUACUUCAUUACUGCAUCUGCAUUGCAAAAUGAUUAUUAUAAUUAUUACUUCAAGGAAAUGAUAAAGUAAUCAUCAGUGAUGUUCUUCCUUGAGCUGCGAAACUCCGCUGCACUCUAAGGAAAUGACCUGCUGCACUCUGUGAUUGACUCGUUAGGGCUCCCCCCACAAACAAGUGGCUGCUGUGAGAGAGUGGGUGAGUUGUGUUUAGUCUCUUUGCUAAAGAAAUUAGGCAGAGCUAAAAAGAAGUUUGAUGGCUAGUGCUAUGACUCGGACCCUACAUGUCCUGUUGAUGAAGUUAGGUGCUGUUCUGAGCAUAAUUUGUGGCUAUAGAGUGUUUUUUAAAAUUUUUAUUAAGGUGUGUACGUGGAGCCGUAGCUCGCCGUGUAUUGCUAUCGUGCGGUCGUUACUUAAAUUGGUAUAACUAGAGCAGCAAGCAGUCUGCAACAUUCAUCUCUACGGUGUGUUUAACCCUAACCUAAUUUUACACCGGAAUAUCCCUUUAAGCCAUUAAAUCUCUGUGAAGUGAAAACUGUAUUUCAAAAGUUUCAUUUGUGUUGGUUAAUGUUUGUAUAUACUGGUGUGUGCAGUUUGAGUAUUAUAUAUUCAUACUGAGAAAUCUUCACGUUUACCAUUGGGUAAUUACUGUGACUGUAUAAUGUAGUGCAGUGAUUUGAUUUAAACAGUUCCUCUGAAGCUGAAUUGGUAUGCCCUGCUAAGGCGAGAAAACCAGUGAAUCCUUGAUGUGAGACAAGAGUGUGUGAGCAAAUUGAGUUGGCUAACAGGUUAGUUGGCGAGCUCCUUCGCCCCGCAAAGCUGUAAUUUUGAACUAGAUAAUUAUGGUGGAAUGUAGAGAAGGGGCAGGGGAAGCAAAAUGAAGAUUAUGUGUGUGUGUGUUUUAGCAAGAAAGUGUGUAAGUGAGUAUAUGUGUGUCUGUGCAAGUCUUCAACAGACGCACUAUGAUUAGGCUGCAGUUUCUGCUAGCUGUUUAUCCCCAUUACUGCUGCCAAGGAGCUUACCAGCUAAAUUGGGCAAAUUCUGGUCCCCUAAACAAAUUACUCGCUCUAUUUGAGGAGGGAAAUCAAAUUAAGAAAUUAGCACAGAUCCAGCACUGUACCCCAGCCAGUAAUGCAUUAGUUCUUAGUUUAGAUUUUGUCAGUCUUCCAUCGACUAUAAGAUUAUGGAUACUGUUUGGAUGCUGAUGCAUAUGGAUUACAUGCACCUUGCCAACUGUACGCACACUUGGGAAGUUUGACUAAAUAGCAGGAUGUGUUUGUACUAGCAGAAUCGUGUUAAACCCCAAGUGGGCCAGUGUGUCUUGAUUUUGGUCUCUCCUGCUCCACCUGAAAGGCUAAACGUUUGGAAACCUGUAUGAUUAAAACUGGAGAGGUGCAAGAUGACUAAAUCUUACAAUGCCUGCAGCAAAUCUGAAACCCAGAGCAGCUGCUUUGAUUUCAAGGAAACUGUUUAAGAUCGUCAGAUAAUGAAUUUAAGGAUUCAAAUUGAAAAUGGUACUUCCCACAAAAUCAGAUAUAGAAAGAACUUGUCCCUGAUUAAACCGUAACAGUUUGAUGACAUGGGUUUGUCAGUGCUGGCCCUUACGGCGGUUUGAUACCACUACACUUACUUAAGCGCAAGCAAAGUUUCAAAAAGCAGUGGUUAUAUGUGAGUUCAUACCGUUCGCACACAGCUCUACAGAAUGUAGGUCCUUCGGAUGAAACAUUGUUCACUCCUGCGUUUGGUUGUUCUACAACAAAUCCUUGAACAGGAGUGGGGAGGAAGUUAUAAAGAAUACAAGAGGGGAGGGGAGUGGUAGACUGUCGGAAUAAAGAACAGGUUUUAAAAAAGGAGUGGUUAAUGUUGAAGAGUGGAGGAGGCAGAAAGUGAAGAGCGGUAGGGAACGAAGAAAAGGUGAUGCAAGAAAUGAAAUGAUUAGAUCAGAGCGCAAGAAAGGAGAACUAAACUUAUGAUGGAAAAGUGAGAGAGGAUAAUUCACCUGCCGUAUGCUUCUUUCUCUUCACAUUCUUUUCUUUUCUUUUCCCACUUACAUUUAAACUACAUCUCAUCCCAUCCCUCUUCUUCCUGUCACCCUCCCCUGUUUCUCCCAAUACACUCUCACCUGAGAAAGAUUAAUCGUUCCAGUCGAAUCGCAUUACCUCCCUACCCAACUACUAACUCUCUCCCUCUCUCUCUCCACACACACACACACACACACACACACACACACACACACACACACACACACACACACACACACACACACACACACACACACACACACACAAGCACACGGAGAGAUGGAUAAGGGGAGAGGGGGAGGACCUGUGAUCCAGAGACAGAGGGAGAUAGAGGAUGGAGGGUAUGGGGGUAUUGAGGGAGUUGAAUGCAUGGAUGGUCUGCUCAUUAAACUCAUCACAUUAUUUUAGCCCUGUGCUUUAUUACACUUAACUGGGACACUAGGCACUCAGUCACCCCCCCACCCUCCCACCCCAACCCACCCACCAACACACACAUAUACGCACACACAAUUCUGUAUGCACAUCCAUCCUAACCUGCAGGUUUGCCAUAAUGUGUUUAUGACGUAGCAUGUUUAAUUUGAGGAAGGGGAUGAUUCAUGGCCCCCUGAUAACAAUGCUUCAUCAUUCCACAGCACCUAUGUCAUAAAGAGGGGCUGUGCAGGGCAGGAAAAACUGCUGUUAAUGGGAUGCUAAUCAUCUCAUAACUUGGAAAAUGGGCUAGCAGGCACACCCUUCAUGCAAAUGUGUGUGUUUACGUGCGCAUGUUUAUUCAUGUGUAUUGGCCUUUUUUUCUGGCGCAUGGUUGAUGUGUACGGUUUCCCGCAUUUUGGAUUUUGCACGACUUUGUUUAUGUACGUACUGUAUGUGUGAGAGGGUGAAUAUUGAUCUAUGGCCCUGUGCUCCAUCACCCUGCCAAGCAUAACAAGAAAGAAUGGGCCACUGAGCAGGUGCUCUUCCUCUGCUGACUUAUAAACAUAUGCACCGGAGUAAACACCUCAAUCACUGCAGGGGGCAAGGCUCGGUGAAUUAAUAAAAUUUACAUGCUCCUGUUUGGGGAUAAUACAUUCUUAGUUUUUAUGCAUACAACCUCUUUCGUUGUUUACAGUCAAUGAAUCUAAGAAAAAUGUCUUCUUGGUGAAAACAAAUCAAUGUGCAGGUUAAACCGGGUCAAAACAGCCAAGAGAGAGCAAGAUAAGACUUGUUUAUGAAUGAGUCUGUCACAGACUGUUUUGGUAUUUACAUCGCUGAACACAGCUAGAUUGGCCAUAAUGAAUCUUACUUUUUACUGUAUGAAGAUAUUUUUUUUCUCUCUGGCCACUCUAAAUAAAUAAUAAUAAAAAAAUCUGCCUAUUUAUAUGUUAAAAAUGCACAGUCCAUGUUCGAGAGUUUUCUCUCAGGCUGCAAAAAGUAUGAGUUUUCCAUAGCUGACACCAAUUACAUCAGUGCCAUUAAGAAAAAGCUGCUAACCACCAAAAGUUUUACUGAUUGAUUUGAACCCAAUUCACUGCAGAUACUCAAUAUUGUAGUCUUAUGUAAGAUACAACAACAAAAAAAAACAAUGACCUUACAUAUUCUGCAUAUACUAGGGGUGGGAGAAAAAUCGAUUCACAGAAGUAUUGCAAUUUUUUAUUUUAGAAUUUUUAAAUCAAUUUUUGUGUCCAAAAAUCAUUUUUUUUUCUUCCAAAUUUAAAAAUAAAUCUUAUAAACUGUCUUACAUGUGAUGUGUGUUUUAGGGGAGAAUAUGGUUCCUGGAAUAGUCAGUAGGCAAUCAUAAUCAUUCAACUGUUUCACUGGUGUUAAAAAUUUAGGCUAAAUAGCGAGAAAAUCUACAAUAUCGUAGAAUCGCAAUUUAAAUCGAAUUGGCAUCCAAAAAAUGGUAUAAGAAUUGAAUUGAGAGAAAAGCAUAUCGUCCCAGCUCUUGGAUGCUCUGUGCAUGUGUGUGGGUGCAGGAUGUGUCUAUCUCAAACGUCCCUUAGAGAUGUGACCAUCUAAAUAAGCUUACUCAUGUUAGAGACCAGCGUACCAGGUAUCUACAAUACUCUCUAACAAUAACAUGUUCAGCAUCCAAGUUAAAAGAUCACCUAAGACUGUCAGGGUGCAUUUGUUCAGAUUUGCAUUGCUUUGAAAGCUGCAUGCCUACACAUUCAAUGUUGAACCUGCUUACCCCUGUUUCAGACAGUUUUGUGUUUGUGUGUACAAACAUGGUAUCACAAAUUUAGGAACCAGAAUGAUUUUGAGAACCAGUUUUGCUACCUGAUAAACUCUGAAACAAACUGUGGCCCUCUCCUGGUUUCUGACAGCUGCCGAGUUUCACUUUCAGUAAUGAAAGGAUUAAACUGGAAGUUUAGAGGGUAGAAAGCAUUAAUAUGACCUGUUGAAGUCUGUGGUGAACAAGUUUCUGGAUAUUUACAGCAAAAUCAAGUUACAUCAUGUUUGAAAGUACUAAAGACUCUCUCAGUAUAUCACAAUUGAAUUUGAGGCUGCAAUUCCAUUUAAAGUCGAUUCUGAAGUCAAAUCAAGAAGCUACUACAUAGAGGUGCUUAUUUCAAGCUUUAUUUUCACUGCUUUAAGUUGACCAACAAGUACAAAAAAGUUGCAGUUGUAUCAUGGAAAGCAGGCCCUUUAAGAUUUCAACAUCCACCAGGUAACACACCAACAAAAUGAGUCCUGGGUUGACUGGGAGUAGCGAGGAAGCAAAAUGCCUUGCAGUGUUUGGACAGAUGGGCAUAUUUGUAAAAUAUUGAACACUAAAACAUGCAUCAUUGUCUGAGUGAGGAGGCUUUUACAGCUGUCGUGCAGUGUCACCAAAGCUGAGAAAGUCGGACAGCAGUAUGUUAAGAUAUGAAACCAUCUUUGUCAAAGUGAAUUAGAGGACAAGUUCCCCCAGUCUGAUGAGCUAAAUAAAAUUCUUGCGACUUAACCAGCUGGAGAACCAGAAUAUGUUGUCAAGUGCUACCAGCUCUUCUCAUGAUGUUGGAUUGGAUUGAGACAGUAAGUAAUGUCAGACUAUUUUUAUAUUUAUGCAAACUUUCUGACCUGUUACUGAAGCAGCCAUUUUUUUUCAGUUGUUGCAUUGGAAACCAACCUUUUGGAUAAUUAGCAAGCUCAAAGCACCGCCUCUUAGUGAUCUCGGCUCUCUUUUUUUUCGUCUCACACCACCACCAUGUGAGCUCUGUCCACAUAUGCCCAAAUAACCCAGGGCAAAGAUGGAAAACGCCUUCUGUUUGGGAACAACUUUCCUAAACAAUCCAGCUGUGAAAGAACCCCAACUUUAAUAGAGGUUGAAAAAGUUAAGCCGAUCAAACUCUGUGUAAAAUGAGGUGAAAUAGUUUUGUCUACAGGGGGUGCCAGAACUGAUAGUUCCCAAAAUGAAAACACCUCUUUACCGCUUUGAAUAAGAUUAAGAUUAAUCUAAAGGUUUUAUAGCCACUGGCAGUGUGAACUACCACCCACGAUAAUGUCAGAAAGAGACCUUUUUAUUUUUUUCCAACCCAUCCUAGACUUUUCCUGUCAAAGUUAUUUGAUCCUUUACACCCCUUUUAAUAUCUUUCUUCUUCUUCCAACUAAGCAUUUUCCAGGACCGCUGACAAAGUCAUUGUUUUAAUUAUCUGAAUCUUUGUUAUUUCUUUCUCUUGUCUAUCUUCUUUACGCAGUACAACACAGACAUGUUUCCCUAUCAGCCCCUCUCUCAUACCUUUCCUUUCUUCCAUCCCUGACAUGCGUGUCCAUGGCUGCCUACAGUCUCAUAAUCCUUUCAAUCAAUCAGAGGUAAUAUAGUUUUAUUUGACAGGUGUCCCUGUGUCAUUGGCCUCUGAUAGACAGGGCCACACCCACCAUGGGCACUUUAUAAAAUGAGCAAACCCCCCCAGGAUGAGAAUAGUUAAUAAUAUAUAAAUCAAAUUGAUGACAUUGUUGCCUGUUUGUAAUCUCGUCAUGGAGCAUAUGCAGCGUAGUAUGCACUCUAAGAAGGCUUCAGCAAAGAAGACAUGGCUUUCUUAGGAUUUUUUCUUAUAGAGAUGGGGAAAAUAUAACACUGCAUUCUCAAUGUUUGUUGAUAUACAAGACAUUAAAGAGAGUAAAUACAUUUUUGAUUCGAGCGAGAUAUUGUGCUACUUGAAUUACAUUUUUCAGCAACUUUAUGAGUAAACAUUUGUAAUCAAUGCAAAUCCCAAGUUCCAGUUCUUUCUGUGGAUAAAUCAACAUUCACCAAAAGCGUAUUUUUUAAUUUGUUUUUUUGCAAUAUUUUCUGGGUAAUCAACAUUCACUUUAGAGUAACUAAAAAAUGAUCUUUGCUUUUAAUGUGUGAUGCAUUUAAAGCACUUUGUUAAAUUUGCAAUUCAGUGGCAACUGUUUGUAUAAUGAACCGUUUCAUUCAGUUUUUCAGCAGAAAUGAGAAACAUUUACAUGAAGGUGCCACCAGGGAGUUUUGGCCCCUUGAAAAAAGAUCAUAUUCAUCCCAACCACUUCAAUGUGGCGAAUGUUCUACUCUACAUUAAGUCCCUUAUCAUUCACAGGCCCACAGAGACGACCAGUCUCUUCUCUGUCCAGAUGGCUGUAUCCCAAAGAGUCAAAUGUUCAGGUUUGUUGCUUUGUCUUACUCCCACUCCAAUUUGAAGUAUCUUGGAUUUUGGAUGAUCUGUUAAUUAGACACAACUUAUAAAAGAACAUUCAGAGUAAUUUUAUUAUUCCUCAGUCCUCAGACUUUAUCAGUUAAUUAAAAAAAAGAAAUAUUUGUUUAUCACAGCCAAACAUUGAUGGUCUUAGAUAAAAGCAAAUAAGAAGCAAAAAUUAAAGAUUUUAACCCUGGAACACUAUCGCCGGGUGAUUUUCUCUUGACCAAACAUGUUUACAGGAUUUUCAUUAUGUUGCGUUUGUCUGGGUAUCAUGGGUCCAUGGGUAACUUCAGCAUUGCCUUUGACAUCUUUGAAGGCAUAUUUGUUUCCCUGAUUCAAAACCUGCUUUUUCCUACAGGCACGUUUUCAGGUGAUUUUCACCCAGUGAUUGUGAUAGAGGGUGAAGCAGGUUUGGGUGGAUUUGAUAGCGGCAUGUAGGCGAAUAGGGUCAGUAAGAGUGGUCCUGGAAUUUGUAUACUAUCUUUAUUUGGCGUAGUGGUUAUGAAAUAACUAUCACAAAGUAGUGAUGUUCAAGGGAAUUCAUAUGGUGAUAAAAAAAUAUUUUAGUCAGCUGGUCAUUUUUACUCACUCAAAAUAGGCCAUAUUUUGGUUCUCUCUCCUGCAGCUGUUGUUGUGUCGGGGACCCUGAGUCUUAACCAGAGAAGACUUACAUGCCCCAGGAAUGGAUGGAAAAAAAACUAAGAUUACAGUUUCUAUAUCUAUUUAUUUAUUUUAAGGAAUUUUUUUGUUCAUGAAUGCCCAAUUUCAGUUAUUUUGUUGCAUUUUUAUAUGGUCCCCUCAUGGCACUUUUUUUCCCUCCCUUUGGACGUUGCACAGUUAAAAGUUAUUUACCAAUCUAUCACCAAAGCAACUCCAUUCUUUACAGAUUUUGACAGUGUUAGAGUAUCUAAUGUUGCCCUGAGGGCUUAUUUUAUUGUCUUUCGAUUAUGUAUUCAUUAGACUAAACACAUGGCUACAUUUGUUUGUUUGCUGUGGCCUGAAAGUUCUAAUUAUAGGGUUUUGGUUAGCAUGGCGGUUUGGGCAGGUGCCCUGUAUACUGAGUUUGAGUCUUGGCAGCAUCUCCUCGCUCCAUAUCAUCCACGGGUCUUUACUCCUAUUCCUUUUUUCUCAUCAGCUGUCCCAUCACAUAAAGGAAGUAAUGCCUUCAAAAACUUGCUUUUACAUACUGAUUUUAUUUCCACAAACAAACACACAGAAUUCUCAGUUUCUUGAGCCUGAUUUUGAGUCUCACAGGGCACAUUUACCCAUUUCUGGGCAUGAGGAGGAAAAGAGAAAAAAAGGUUUUAUGUGUCCUAAAGUGCAUAAACUAGACUACUAUUAAAAAAAAGGAUUCGAUUUGCAAAAAAAGAUUAAACUUUUCUUUAUUUCCCAAAAGUCGUUUCUGGGCAUGCUUUCCAGCUUCAUUACCAUAACAUGAUGAAGGCUUCUCGCACAUACAACUGUAAUUCUAAUGCAUGUAUGACUGAAUGGAAGGUUUAUGUAAACGAGACGCUGAAUUAUUCAUGCUUUAGAUGCCUGUCAAAGGCUGAUUUCCUACUGUGUAUGUUUGUGUUAAUGUUUGUGCAUGAGUACGUGUUUGUGUGCGUGGUGGUUUUAUGCCAGUCUGGUUUGUGGUAUGGGUGCACAAAUGUGUCUGUGUCUUGUGUAUGUGCACUAUUUACUGAUGCAUGUGUGUCAGUUGUCAAAUUAUUGUCAUCAGAUCAGGAUAGUCAUUUGGGCUUGACCUCAUGUAAUAGGGUUUGACAGGCAGUGACUAAGACAAUAAUUACAAACACACAGACAGCCUGUAUCAAAGCCUGCUGACUGGAAUUAAAAUCAUCUUAGAGCUGUUGUUCCGAAAGGGGAAGCAAUUAUAUGCACACAGUCCGGCACUGAGAGAAAAAAAAUCUAUAGAAAUCAAGAAAACUUUUUCAGCACUUGGGGAAAUACUGUCUUUUAUUUGGAAAAAAAGUGCUUUGUGGCCUGAAAUUAAACUACUGAGCUGAAUAUGUAAUUAAAAAAUUUCAAGGUACUACGUGAUUCCAGGUGUCCCCUCAUUCCCCUAACUCCCUAAUUACGUUUCACUUGCUGUGGUUGGUCGGUCGGUCGUUCUCUUUCUCCCUCUGUCUCCCUCUUCAUUGUCUUUCCCUCACUCCUCUCCUUUCCUCUCUCAGUAGAUGUCACUGCAGUUCCACUCCAGCCAGGGGGAGAGGAUUGCAAUGCAUCGUAGGACACAGACACCCGCAGGUGACGAUAGUGGUGACGAAAGAGACUGUAGGGGAGGAGAGAGGUGUGGAAAAGAUAUAACAAGGAGAGGAAGAAGUGAGAUAGAGGGGAGGGAAGGGAGGAUGCAGCAGACAAGCUUUUCAUUUUCAGGGAACUCUGGUGGGCAGCUUUGGACAGAAGAGAAUGACUUAACAUGUAUCAUGUGUCCCUCCCAUUGUCAAGCCAGCUCUUGUUUACCAAAACGUCUUGGUACACUUUCAAAUAAUGACCCCUACAAAAAAAAAAAAACAGACACCUUUAUUCCAGGAAGACGUAAACUGUCAUGCCCCCAUCUUCAUCACUGAGUAAUGAAGAGAUAAAGCGCUGUUGCAUUAGGGGAAAUCUGAGUGAAGAUAAAAGUGUUGUUGACUUGUUUCUGUCACACAGAUAGCAAUCUGCCUCCUCUCCAGUGAUCCAAUACUUUCCCUGAUUAGAGCUCAGUGUAAUUACUUUAUUCAGUUUGGGAAAUGAAAAAUAUCACUGAUCACCUAGUGACAUUUACAGUUAUGUUUUACUUAGCUCACUUAGUAAACUUAGUUUAUUUUCAAAGCAGGUUUCUUUUUCUUUUUACUUGAAGUUUAGUAACGCUAUUUUGAUCAAUUCGGUACUCAAAUGUGUCUCAUAGCACAGUUGUAGUACUCAAGUUUAGGACUUAGACUCAAGUCCAACUUGAGUCCUGAUUUUUCAGAACUCUGGUUUCAACUUGGUCUACAGCAGUGAUGACUCUGACUUGUACGCACACCUAAAGGGAUAUUCCGGCGUAAAAUAGAGUUAGGGUCAAAGACACCAUAACAUCGAGAUGUACACCCCGACGAGAGAUGAAUGUUGCCGACCACUCGCUUCCCUAGUUCUCCCAACUUUAGUAAUGACCGCACAAUAGCAGUCUGAGGAGCCAUAAACAAACCUCAACCAAUAAGCCACUCUAUAACCACAAAUAAUGCUCAGAACAACAUCUAACUUCACCAACAGUACAUAUAGGGUCCUAGCCAUAGAACUAGCCACCAAAAAUGUUUUUUAACUUUGUGUAAUUUCUUUAGCAAAGACACUAAACACAACUCACCUACUCUCCUCCAGCAGCCGCUUGUUUGUAGUGAGACCUAAGGCCAGUCCAUUACGGAUUGCAGCGGGGUGACGCAGCUCAAGGAAGAACAUUUAUGAUCAUUUCUUUAUCAUUUACCUUAAGUAAUAAUCACCAUGUUAAUCAUUUCGCACUGCAGACACGGCAGUUCUGCCUUAGCGUCUCAGUCUGAUUGCAUUUCCAUAAAGAAAUGAUCCCUGUAAGGAAUAUCCCUUUAAGCACUGACUACAUUUAAACGUAAAGAUUAACACAUACAUGAUCAUUCCUAAAUACAGUAUCUGGCUGAAAGUAUACAGCAAACGGAAAAGGACAGAAUAUGUCUGUUUUUUGUACAGGGUUAACAAAAUGUAGUUGGAGCCUUUUUUUCGGCCAAACAGACCCCACCCAUCUGGAAAAUGUUGCGUGUCCAUGAGAAAUUUUGCCCAGUCUGCCAAAUAAAAAUUGUGAGUUGGGAUCCUGGUGUUUGAGUAGAAGGCCUGGUUUGCAAUUAGUGUUUUGAUUCCUUUCAAUGCUGCUCAGUGGGGUUGAGGUCAAGAGCAAGCAAUCAAGGUUCUCCCCAUGAAACAGUUUUAAUCAAAUCUGUGUGGACUUCUGUUUGUGCCCAGGGGCAGUCAUGCUGGAAAAAGCUCAAGACAUUCCCAAAACUUGUGGCUCUAAUAAGGCCCUUUACUAAAGUGCACUUCAGUGAAGGCUUCAACUUGAGUCAAAGUUAAACCUGGUACAAAAAUAGGCUGAAAACAGCAUCACUUUUUUCAUUCUAUGUUCUCAUUGUUUUGAUUGGAGAUUUCAUGCUUAUGUGCUGGUUAUCCGCAGCAGUUAAUACAGUUAUAUCACCUAAAAUCAGUGAUUAUUUUACAUGUUGUACUUGUCUACUUAACCAGAUGUUACUGGCAUAUACAGCAACAAAAAAACAGAGCAUUUUCCAUUCCUGACAAGAGUGCAGAGGCUGAUCAUGCAUCCACAGUGUAAUUACCUUGACACAAUGCAACACAUCCAAGGGUGAUUGUCAAAUGGCUUUACUGAAAUUAAAUUAAAAUUAAUUCCUGUUUUACUGUUUUCACAUUACAGGUGUUCACAAAAGAGGGUUCUCCCUCUGCGGGGAAAAAUAAGUGACCACAUUGUAGAAACAGUAAUUUUUGAUGAAAGAAGGCUAAUAGAGAACCAAAACCCACUCUCAAUUUGUCCAAACUCAGAAACAAACUAUGCUUUCUGUUAGAAAAUAAUAAAGAAUAAACUUGUAUUUGUGUUCCUUCUAAUAUUGACAAGUUAAUCAUUUAUGACCAAAAUAUCAGCUGUUAAAGUAAGGUGACCAUACAUCCUCUUUUACCUGGACAUGUCCUUUUUUGGGGGGGGCUGUCCGGGUUUGUUUGGCUGUGUCUGGGGAAGUUUAUAAACUCCUUCAAAUGUCAACGGUUUUGUACGGAAGUUUCGACUUUGUGUCACGUGGACUUACUAAGUUAGAAGCGCGUAAAAGAGACUCGACCUUACCCAAAAAACUCUUAACUUUGUGCAACUCCAUGGCUCCCCCCCUCUUGGUUGUAUCCUCUUUUUGAGAAGUCAGAAUAUGGUUGCCCUGUUUUAAAGUGAAAACUCCACAUUUAUAGAUUUGAGCACAACACUAUUGAGGUUCCUGGUUGGAGCAGGAGGAAAAGGAUAGACCAAAGUUUGAAUGUUAGAAUAUUCUAUCUAAUAAAAGGAAAAUGCCAAAGUAUAUCUUCAAGAAAGGAUAGGAGACGUUGACUUUCACAAUACUAUAACCAAAUGGUAGGCAGAGGAGGAACAGUCAUCUGACCGGUAGUUUGAAUUACAUCUGACUUCUGCUUUUGUCCCUACACAGUCAUUGCUAUCACAACAGUACAUAGACAACACUAUGCCAUUCUUUGGGCACAUGCCAAAAUGACUCUUGGUAGGACAGUCUGUUUUGGUUAGGAAAUUGUCCUGCGUCAGCGGCAGGUCACUUUGCCAGUGUGUCUAGAAUGAAAUGAGUAAUUGUUAUUCAUGUCGUCACUGUGAUUUCUGGUAUUACACAGAGUGACUUUAGUCAGAGGGAUUAUUUCUGUUUGAUUUAUGGAGAAAAUAUCCUUAUCUUGGAUUUUUCUGCUGAUCAAGUCUGUAAGUUUUCCCAGCAGAAAUUAGCAGCUGCAUGUUCAGUGGCAAAUCAGAGGCUCAAUAUAGCAGCUCUAAUUAAACACACUGACACCUUUGCACUAGUGCUUAGUUUGCAAUCCCCAAUGCUAACAGAAUGAGGUGUGCUGUAUUUCAUUAACACUCAUUUGCUACUGUUGUAUUCCAUAUGGAAUGUUUUUGGGCCACAGGAGACCAAUACCAGACUAUGUCCAUUUAUUUUUAUGUAUUUAAUUAUAUGUUUUAAACAUCUUUAUGGUCCUGUUGAAUAAAAAGAUAGAGCAAAGUUGCAUUCUGAAUAAAGAAAGAACUUCUCAUAAUGCAGAUAACAUCAUCUCUGUGCAUUAGUGCUGUUUAUGUAUAUUAAAAUGAGCUGCUUUUAGACAAAAUGUCAUCUUUUCAAUGUUGUUGCCAAAAACAUCCCUAAAUCACAAACACCAGUUGCAGCCACACACAGAGCAUUUAUGUAUAUAUAUAAAUAUAUAUAAACUUUAUACAACGUUCAAUAUAUCACUUUUUUUUUUGAUGAUGUUUUUACCAAGUGGCCAAACCAGCUAAGGGCUGUCCAUGAACAUAGUUUUUUAGCACUUAUCCAUGUGUUUAGAUGACCCGGACUGCAACACAGGAUGGGGUUAGUGUUUGUUAUCUUGUACAGAUCUGCAAAAAUUUGUAAGGGUGUUUGUGCUUAAAUAUCAUUCAGCACGAAAUGAACUCAAAGAUCAGACAGCAAGUGAAAAUAAUGAACAACGCUUAGUGUUUUCAGCAGGUGCAGUCCAUUGUCAUUGAAUUGCCUCAGAGUGUUUUGUUUGUUAGAGCAACAAGAUUUGCCCUUCUGCAGAAGUUGUACAGUGAGAAUGUACCAGAUGUUGAACCCCAAGGAAUACACAAGAUGAGGAUCAAAUUUCUGCCCUGUGUCCAGCCUUGAUUGGGCAGGAAUAGAAAUGAUUGACUGAUACGUGUGCAUUUAAAGUCAGUUAAAAGGUCGCAGUAAUCUCCUUUAUAUCAGUGAAAUGUUUCUGACUUCUAACACUUUGGAGGCUUCCAUGAAUGUGAAGGAAGGUUUGAAAUGGUCUAAUUCCACUAUGCAUAAUUAUGGUCUUUUUUUUUUUAAAGCGAACAAUGGUGAUCCAGGUAGAAUAAACGCUGUUCAUCUCUAAUUCCCCCCUUGACAAAUGAAUUGUCAUGAUCUUUGUGUUGCACUUAUUGGAAGUACUUUACUUUUGGCAUGAAGUCACAUGCAAGUGUCUUUGCACGAGAAGCAGUGUGAUUCCUGUUAAUGUGUGAGCAUGGAUUGCUUUAACUGUGAGUGUGAGCAUCUGCAUAUGUGGUUGUAAGCAUUCUUGUGUGUCACAGUUCAGGAGCAGACAAGUGGAGAGAGCAUUACCACUCUCUUCCUACACUAAUCAGGGAUUAGACCGUGUUUAAGAACAUAAUACACAACCGUAAAACAAAUGAGUGUGUGAGAGACAUGUUUAAAAUGGCCUAUAAAAAUGAAAUGAAUAGCUGUCUGUUGUUUGGCAUUAGUCAUGUCUUGAUAGAGCCAGGAUUUCUAAGUCAUUCAUAGGUUUCCUUGUUUUCUCUCAGACUUUUAUAGGAUGUGUUUUCAGUGGCUGCAAAUGAUUGCUUUAAAAUACCUAUCAAGUUUAGAAGCAAAGUGAAAUUUUAACAAACCAUAAAUAAAAUGGUGCUUUGUUGAAUAUAUAAGAAAAUGGGUUGUUGAAUAGUCACUUUGAGUGUUGUUUUGGAUGAGUCAGUGUCAAACAAAAAAAGCCUUUCUAUGCUUUAGGGCUGUGUGAAUAAAGCUGAAUAAUUAAGACAGGCUCUUUUCUUUGACCCAGCAUCAUUAAAUAACCAACUAAUUUGUCAAGAGAGACACGCAGAACUGCAAAUUUCAGGUAAAUUACUUUUUAUAAAUAAAAGAUUGGGUUGGUGUUGAUCUUGUAACUUUUAAUUGUGCCAAGCUUUCACAGACAGCUUUGGGCUGUCAGACAUUUUCUCAGUCCAUGGUCACACUUCGUAUUUACCUUUAGUAACUGUUUUCUUCACAAAUACAGAAUUAGGAUUGAAGAAGAAAAAAAAGGGAAAAGCUUAGUUUUUCUUUUUUUCAACGUAACAUUGACUGAUAGGGCUUGUUAGAGUCUGAUAAAAAACCAAUAACCUGAAAUAUAGUUUAAAAAAAUGUAAUAAAACCUAAAAUGUGGUAACUGACCCAAAAUGUAAAAAGUUGCUACAUUUUUGGCAAAAAGUUAUUCGCACUGGGCUCAGCAUCGUGUUACAUUAUUGACCAAUUAUUACAUUUCAGGUUUUAUAACAAUUUUCUUAAAUAAAAUUUGGGUUAUUGUUACAUAUCAGGCUUUAACAGGGCUUUUUUGUUUGUUUUACUUCUGGUGUUUAUUUCUUUCACAUAACAAGUCAUCAUUUAGAUCAUUAUUUUUUUCAAGUAUUUGUUGAAACAAUACAUUUCUGGAGUGCUUCAGUUAACUGACCUAAAGGAAUCCGUUGACUCUCCUCUCAUCACAUUUACUGGCAUUGUGCUUGCAGACUACAAAUGGUCACUUGACACAACUAUGAGCGAAAGGGUUCUUUUUUUUUUUUGCCUGCACUUAAACAGAGAUUUGAUGAGAGUGGAGAAACAAGGUAUCCAGAGUAAAUUAGAGCAGCAGAGUGAAGGAAGAGAGAAAAGGAGAGAGAGAGGGAGAGAGAAGGGAAGAGAAAGAAACUGAACGACUGAAAGGGAGAGAAUGUGACAGACCGGAGGAAGGUAAGGAAGGCAGUCUUCCUGGGGAUGUAGGAAUGAUUAAUGUGAAACUGUCAAAGAGUUGGAGGGGAAGAGUCAUGGCCAGGUGCAGAGAGAAGAAUAUGACAGAGCGAGAGAAAGAGAGAGAGAGAAAGAGAGAGAGAGAGAGAGAGAGGGAGGAUGGCAAGAUGGCACAAAAUGUUUCAGGACGAAGUGUAAGAGGGAGAAUGCUGAGAUGCAUAAAAGGGGCUCUGGGAAAGACUGCUUGUCGGACAUAAGUAGUAGGAAAAAGGGAUAGGGAAAAAAAGAGAGUAAAAAUGAAAGUGUGAAACAGGAUUCAGAAAAGACAACCACAGGACUUAAAGAAAGGCAAAAGGAGCAAAACACUGCCUGUUAUGAGUGAGACAAUCACUCAGAGGUAAUUUGCUCCGAUGAGAAACUAGUGUUAAAGUUCUUUAUGGUUUGUAGAGUGUGUUGUUGUGUAUGUAAGCGCGCGUCUCUAUGCUCUAGUUCAUGAUACAAAAGCUAUUGCAGUUUAUUUUCAAAGCUCCUUUGAGAAUAGUUUUUCUGGUAACUGAAUGAAAUUAUUACUGAUGCUUUCUCUUUUUAGAGCUGAUGUCAUGAUGUCAUUGUAUCAGCUGGAUGCAAGAAGAAAUAAAAAUGGAGGCACUGUCAGCACUGCCAAAGAUCAUA
This 62132-nucleotide long non-coding RNA is filed under the name Xyrichtys novacula (pearly razorfish). The record is from RNAcentral. Lineage: Eukaryota; Metazoa; Chordata; Actinopteri; Labriformes; Labridae.